CACUUUUAUUGUUUUUUUAAAAUAAAAAUUCCGCUUCAAUAAAAAUUCCAAUCACUUGAAUUUUUAAUUUAUUUCAAUUAAUCACUCAGCCCUAAUUUUCCUGUAAGCUUAUGUAGACUCCUUUUUUUUCCCUUUUUUUUUUUUCUUCCGAGGGGCAAGCAUUGAAAGAUGCCCUCCCAGGCAUGUUUGUUUAGGUGAAAGUAAGACGGAAGUGGAGAGGGAAAAAGUUAUUUUCGCUAUAAUCGUACACUUUCCUUAUUUGGUUUGCCGUAAAAAAGUUACGGUAGAAACUCGAGUUAACCUAAAAUGACGUAAUUGACUUCGGUCUAUCGUGGGUCGAAGUUAAUUACGGUGAAGGAAGGUAAACGAAAAAUAAUAAUAAAAUAAUAUACUAGGUAAAAAUACUUAUAUUUAAAUAUAUUUAAUUAUAGUACUAAUUACUCUUUUAUUUAGUUGGCAUAUUUAAAAUAUGAUAAAAAUUGAUUAAUUAAGUUUUAAUAUUUUCUUCAUUUAUUUUGUACAAUUAUAUAACUAAAAUUUAUGUAUAAAAAACAAUAUAAUUAUUUUAAAUUAAAUUAUAAUUAUAUAAAAAUAUAAUUAUAUUAUUUUUAUUAAUUAAAUUAUUUAUUAUUUAUAUAUAAAUUAUAGUUUUACAUUAUACACUUCUUACCAAACAAACAGCAGAACUAAUAAAACUUCAAUUCCAUAAUUACAAAACAAAUAGCGAAAAAGAAGUAGUUUUUACCAAACUUUACUACAACCGAGAGUCCACUUCAACCCAAAAUCUAAUUGCAUGGCUCCCUUCAGGUUUCGUCUAUGGUUGCUAAAAAAAUGUGUUAUUUGUAGGAAAAAAAUACAAUUGAAAAUAUUAUUUUGCAAUAUCGCAUUCCGGAUACCACUGUAUCAUCCUAUGAAAAUAUAUAAAGCAAUGCUUCAAUACAUCACAAAUAUUACUUUAAUUAGUACAUGGUAUAGUUGGAUUUACAUAAAGUAACCUGCUGAAUAGUUUAGCUAUUUGGAUUAGUUAAUAUGAUAAUAUUGGAAAAAAAUGAGUAGUAUAUAUAAAAUUUGUUAGUGUUCUUAAAUUUUAAACUUCUUAUUUAAUUUUGUUACUUACCAAAUUAGAUAAUACCCAAUUUGCUAAAUAUCAUGCUAAAAAAAAUAUUAAAUUUAAAAUUUAAUUUUUGAAUUUGGUAUUGUAAUGUAAAAUUUUAAUUUUUGAAAUUUUAAAUUUUGAAUCUAAAUUGUAAUUUUAAUCUUAAAGCCAAAUUUCAAUUCUUGAUUUAUAUUGAAAUUUUGAAUUUGAACGGAAAUUUUUAUGUUAAAUUUGUGUUUAAUAUUUUAAAAACAUUGAACUUGAUUCAUAAUUAAGUUUUUUAUGUUAUUCCAAAUUAAAUUCACAGUCUGGAUGUAAUUUAAAUUUCAAUUAUUGUUGUAGGUAUUUGAAAAGUUUAUGGUACUCCUAGUUGGAUAAAUACGGUCUUGUGGAUCAAAACAUACUGCAAAGAUCAAAAUACCCUUUAGAUAGGUACCUAGUGAAUGGUAUCUAUAUCUCGGUAGUAUAUUAUAUGUCAAAUCACUUAUUUAGAAAAAUAAAUUGCCGAGGUUUACUUGGUGUAUGGAAGCAUUGCUCAUUUAUAUGUUCAUAUAUGCUUUCGCCUUGCCUCUUUUUUGUUUUUUUUUUUUUUUUUUUUUUUUUUUUUUUUUUUUUCAGCUCCACGAGGCAUAGGAUGUCUCACCCAUGUAGCUUAAUUCAUACCUCCAACGAAUGAAGCGGGUAGCGUGCUAUCUAUUUCUCUUAAAAAAAAGAAAAGAAAAGAAAAUAUGACUAAGUCAACAUGCUUGUAAAGUCUACCGGACCCUAAUCCGUAUGCAGAAUCGAGCCAACUAUAGGCCUUAAACACAGCCCAGCUAUUGACCCUUACAAUCUUUUGCUUCUUCCUUCUGUUUUCUCAAAGCCUAAACAAAUUUAAGGUAUUUGAUUUAUUUGAUCUUUAUUAAUUAGUAACGUAUUACUGCUAAAAUAAUUGAACAGUAAUUGAAUGAUGUGUUUACAUAUUUAUUAUCCCUUUCUUUCUCUACAUUAAUACACACAUGAAUCUUACUUCUUAUUUCUAAGAAACUGAAAAAAAGUUUGGUAGACACUUUCCUCCGGUUAGCAAGAUCCCUUUUUUUUUUCUUUAACAGUGCUACCUAUUAAUGGAGCUGGCUCCUGUGUUUCUUUCCUUCCUCCUUCUUGUGCCCUUUUGUACUUAUUGAUUUAUUCUUUUCUAUUUCUUUCUUCUCUUCUUUGAUCUUAAUUUUCUACCAUUGUAUACAUGCAUACGCCCGCAAGAUAUUUAAAUUUUCAUAUAUAUAUAUACACCUGAGCAAAGAAUGAUAUGAAAGAACAAAAAAAAUAAUUCUAUUUAUUUUCAUAUGUAAUAUCGUAAUUUUAAUAUCAUAGUAAAUCCAAAUUAUCAUAUAUUUUUUGGUGUCCUCAACAAAAAAAAAAAAUAGAAAAUCAUAUUUUUAUAUAUUUUCGCCCCAAAUUCUGUUUUGCCUGUUGACCUUACAUACGAAAACAUACUGAACGGGCCCUUUGCCGGUUGGCCCGGUUAUGCUUUGAGUUCUAGUGCCUGAAUUUGGAGUUUAGGCCUUUGUAGCUUUUUAGGCUUUUGCUGGUAGUUUGAUGGCAUUUCUUAGUUGUUCUCUGUUCAUCUAGGGGAGCAUAUCUACUGUAUUUCUCCUAGUAUUUUUGAAGACUCUCAAUAUCCUUUUGUAAUCAUCUGCCACUAUAGAGAGAGGGUUUAUCAAGUGGCUUGUUUGUCCUCUUUUUAUUUGUUAUUCACUUGUGCUGUUCCCAGUUAAAUAAAACUUGCCUAUACGUCGAGUGUUCUAGCUCCAAAAAUAUAUAUAUUCGUUUAGCAUUGUAUAAAUUCGCUCCGUUCAGAUUCGGAUUUGAAUCGUAUCUUUUGACAUCUCUAGUAAAGUUGUCCAGCCUGGCUUGGUAUGACCAUUGGCCAUGCCUUUUUUUGAAGACGCGUCUAGUUUUAUAGUGUUGCGAAAAAAUUUUAUGUCAAAUAAGGUCUAAUCAAUCAUUCAUCAGAUCUCAUCGCAUGUAAGGAUUUUAAAACGGCGAUGUAUAUAUGGUUAAAUCUUUUAAAAGGUUUUUGGAAUGGGCCUGAAACUCGUGUUUCAAACGGAGAAGCCAUUUUAUCAUGUAUAGAUAUUGUUAGUUAAUUCACGAAUUUUUAAAGAAAUAAAUUAAACGGCUGUAUUUGUAUUUUUCCAAAAAAUUCAAAAAAGCACGUGUUUUUUUGGUCAAAAAUACUUAUUUGCGAAUAAUUCGCGAGCUCCGAAUUAUUCGCCCAAAAAUACAGUUCCGCUCUCGUGCCCGCGCCAACGCCCCUGGGUCGCGGGCCUCACGGUCGCGGGUCACAGGCCUCGCGGCUCGCUCACGCUCACAGUCGAGGGUCGCAGGCCUCACAGCUCGCCCAAAACAGAAAAAACAAAACUCUUUCCAAACGUUCACCACGCCCAAAAUAGAAAAGAGAUGAAAAGAAAAAUCCUUUUCAAAUGGUUCGCCCUGCUCCCCCCGUAAAAAAAAUCAUUCGAUUAAAAAAAUUUAAUUUCUUAUAGACUAUCUUAAUCUCUUAUUUGCUUAAUUAUUUAUUUAUUUAUUUUGAGUCAUAAUAUAGUUUGUUAUUUUUUUUACUUAAUUAGCGAGCUUAUCUCAUCUCAAGCUUGGCUUGAAAUUAAUUUCAAACCUAAAUUUAGGCUUAAGCUCGGCUUGAAAUUAAUUCGAGCCGAGCUCGAGCGAGCCUAAUUUCGAGUCGAGCGAGCUCAAGCCCUAAACGAGCUGUUUGAAAUUCUUAACACCGUGCAAUCUAUAGUUUAAUUUUUAUAAAACAUUAUCUAAAAUUCCAUACAAAAAAUGUCUAAUAGCUCAACAUACAAAAUGAAUGCAUGAAAUACAAUAUUAUAAGAUUAAAAAAAAAGGAAAAGCGAUUCUGUGAGUGAGUGAAAAAGAGAGAAAAAGAGAGAAAUUAGAGUACAAUUUUGCUGGUUUGAUUUUGUGGGCCCAAUAAUCUAAAUUCUAUAUACAUAUAAUUAAAAUACAUAAUAUAUAUUAUUUUAUAUAAUUAAAAUAUAUAUUAUAUAUAAUUAUAUAGAGAGAGAGUUCGGCUACUAUACUCUUAUUAGUAUAGACCCCUUUAUACUCAUAAGUUUUCGAUUGUUAGAUCUAUACUUUUGACUAUUUCCAUCCGUAAAUCAUACUAUUCAACCAAUCAUCCACCCAAUCCUAGGGGACCACUAUCAUCCUAAUUGCACAUCCAACGGCCAAAAAUUUAUAAGUAUAAAAAGGUCUAUACUCAAAAGAGUAUAGUAGCCAUAGCCUAUAUAUAUAUAGAAUUAGAUUACUAUACUAUUAAUAGUACCAACCGCUUGUUAUUAAGUUUUCGGCCCUUAGAUGAAGGAAUGUGUGGUCAGGAUAAUUGUAGCCCCUUAGGGUUGAGGAGGUGAGUAGUUGAAUAGUAUGAUCUAAUGGAUGAAAAUGAUUAAAGAGGUAGAUCUAACGGUAGAAAACUCGAUAGCACCAAACGCUUGGUACUAUUGAUAGUAUAGUAACAGAACUCUAUAUAUAUAGAUAGAUCUAACGGCAGAUAACUCGAUAGCACAAAACGAUUGGUACUAUAAAUUGUAUAAUAGUCGGACUAUAUACAUAUAGAGAGAGAGUCCGGCUACUAUAUUAUCGAUAGUACCAAAUGCUUAGUACUGUCGAAUUUUUUACCGUUAGAUCUACCCCUUUGAGCAUUUUCACCCGAUAGAUCAUAUUAUUCAACUAAUCACCCNUUAAUAGCAUAAAUUUUGAGAGAAAAAAAUUUAAUUUAAUAGCUGAAUUUUUUAUUUCGAAUUUUUAAAGGAUGAACGUAUAAUAUCCGUAUAAAUCACGUAUAUGAAUAAUUGACGAAUUUGUGUUUUAGCCAUAUUUUUUAACGAAUUUAAAAAUAAAAAAAUAAAUUUUAUCCGAAUUAUAACUGUAUCGAAUUUUUGUCAAAUCCGAAUUAACUAUGGCACAGAUUUGAUAAUUUGUAUUUAAAUAUUCCAUACAAUUUUUGUCCGAUGCAUGCGGAAUGAGGAAGGUGCCUCACUUUGACCAGUACUUGGGUUUCUGCAUACGCGUGAGGUAGAUGACACAAAUUUUAAUCAAAUAUUAAAGAUAAAAUAAUCUUAUUGUCUUAGUUGCAUAAUCUACUCAAAUUGAAGUAUUAAACCCUGUAUCUCAAUCUCCACCGUUCGAUCUCUCCACCUUCUUUAGAUCGACGCACAAUAUCUUUUCUUUCAACACGUAGCUCCAAAUAUUAUAUAUUAUUACUAGCAAGUAACCCGUAAGAUAUGUAGAUUAAGAAGCAUUGUGGAGAACCCGAGCAAAACAGCAUUGGCUACAGGAGGGUGACAAUAAUACCAAAUUCUUCCAUGCUGUAGCCAAUGGCCGGAUGAGAACAAACAGAAUUGACGUGAUCGAAGAGAGUGGGACGGUGCAUCACUCUGAAGAGGAUAAACAGAAUGUCUUAUUUCAAAAUUUUAAAAAGCUUUACUCAUCGGAUGAGUUGGCUCCAUCAUCAUUUGGGGACUGGAGUGAGCUUUUCAGGAUGACGCGGGUUAGCCCUACCGAUCAUGUGCNUUUAUCAAGUGGCUUGUUUGUCCUCUUUUUAUUUGUUAUUCACUUGUGCUGUUCCCAGUUAAAUAAAACUUGCCUAUACGUCGAGUGUUCUAGCUCCAAAAAUAUAUAUAUUCGUUUAGCAUUGUAUAAAUUCGCUCCGUUCAGAUUCGGAUUUGAAUCGUAUCUUUUGACAUCUCUAGUAAAGUUGUCCAGCCUGGCUUGGUAUGACCAUUGGCCAUGCCUUUUUUUGAAGACGCGUCUAGUUUUAUAGUGUUGCGAAAAAAUUUUAUGUCAAAUAAGGUCUAAUCAAUCAUUCAUCAGAUCUCAUCGCAUGUAAGGAUUUUAAAACGGUGAUGUAUAUAUGGUUAAAUCUUUUAAAAGGUUUUUGGAAUGGGCCUGAAACUCGUGUUUCAAACGGAGAAGCCAUUUUAUCAUGUAUAGAUAUUGUUAGUUAAUUCACGAAUUUUUAAAGAAAUAAAUUAAACGGCUGUAUUUGUAUUUUUCCAAAAAAUUCAAAAAAGCACGUGUUUUUUUGGUCAAAAAUACUUAUUUGCGAAUAAUUCGCGAGCUCCGAAUUAUUCGCCCAAAAAUACGGCUCUGCGCUUGCACCCGCGCCCACGCCCGCUCCCCCGCCCCAGGGUCGCGGGCCUCGCAGCUCGCUCACGCUCACGGUCGCAGGUCGUAGGCCUCACGGCUCACCCAAAAUAGAAAAAAAAAAAACUCUUUCCAAACGUUCACCUCGCCCAAAACAGAAAAAAGAAAAAAAAAAUCCUUUCCGAAACGUUCGCCCUCCUCCCCCCGUAAAAAAAAAAAAUUACUCGAUCAAAAAAGUUUAAUCUCUUAUAAACUAUCUUAAUCUCUUACUUGUUUAAUUAUUUAUUUAUUUUGAGGCAUAAUAUAGUUUGCUAUUUUUUUACUUAAUUAGCUUAAUUUUGUAACUCUUUAUUCUUAUAUUCUUAAGAAAUAUGAAUAUUUAUAUUAAUAGCAUAAAUUUUGAGAGAAAAAAAUUUAAUUUAAUAGCUGAAUUUUUUAUUUCGAAUUUUUAAAGGAUGAACGUAUAAUAUCCGUAUAAAUCACGUAUAUGAAUAAUUGACGAAUUUGUGUUUUAGCCAUAUUUUUUAACGAAUUUAAAAAUAAAAAAAUAAAUUUUAUCCGAAUUAUAACUGUAUCGAAUUUUUGUCAAAUCCGAAUUAACUAUGGCACAGAUUUGAUAAUUUGUAUUUAAAUACUCCAUAUAAUUUUUGUCCGAUGCAUGCGCAACGAAGAAGGUGCCUCACUUUGACCAGUACUUGGGUUUCUGUAUACGCGUGAGGUAGAUGACACAAAUUUUAAUCAAUAUUAAAGAUAAAAUAAUCUUAUUGUCUUAGUUGCGUAAUCUACUCAAAUUGAAGUAUUAAACUCAAUCUCCACCGUUCAAUCUCUCCACCUUCUCUAGAUCGACGCAAAAUAUCGUUUCUUUCAACACGUUGCUCCAAAUAUUAUAUAUUAGUAUUAGCAAGUAACCCAUAAGAUAUGUAGAUUAAGAUAGACCUGGCAAACGGGCAGGUUAGGUAAUCCGCUGGCGGGUCAUUGUACCCGCGGGUUAUUUGGGCAUGAAUAAAAUUUAUCCGUAAAUUUUUUGGGUAGCCAACAUUUUUAUCAAUACCCGUCCACGUGUGGGCGGAUGGAUAUGCAGGUUACCCAGUAUUUUUUUUUCUCUUAUAUUUUUUAAAUAUAAAAUACAUAUAUAUAAGUUUUAAAAACGUAACAUAAUUCAUUAUUUAAAAUAUUAUAACAUACAAUAAAACUAUUUAAAGUUUUAAAGCAAAAACAUAUCAUAAUAUAAAUGACACGCGAUAAGAAAUUAUAAUUAGGGUUUUUAAAAUAGAUAAAUAAAAAUAUAUAUUUUUUAAUUAAAAAAUAUAUUAUAUAAUAAAAAAAUAUAUAUGCGGGUACUCGUGGGUACCCGUAGGUUACCCAAAAUGCUCACAGCUUAAUGGGUACCCACCCAUUUUACCUGUAAUUUUUUUGGUUGAAAAAGUUGGUAUUCAUACCUGCAAAUUUGCGGGUAACCAGCGGACACCCGCGGAUAUGGGUCGAGAUUGCCAGCUCUAAAUUAAGAUCAUCAUUUUUAAUUUUAAUUUAUUAUAAUAAAAAAAAUUAAUUUUUUUAUGAAAAAUAGACAGUGGGUGUUUAGAUUUUAUCUUAUCCUAUAAUAGAAAAGGGAAACUAAAACUAAGAGUUAAAAUAAAAACUAAUCAUUUCCUACUCUACUUAAUCGCUUGAACAAAAAUCAAGGUUGAAAUGCUAAAAGUGUAUAUAAUUGAUUAAAAUGUAUUAAAUUAUGACUAUUAACAUAAGGUAUGCCAUCAUUGUAUAUUGUGACUAUUCAUGAGCAAUCAUUAUUUCCAUUUAUAACAGAGAAGAUUAUAAACUUGAAAACGGCAGAAGAAGUAAUGAAUAGUUAAGUAAGGUCUACAAAAGAAGACUUAAUAGUAAGAAAAUUAUAAGAAAAAUAUUAAAUCAAUUUGUGAAUUAAUUGAUGACAACAUAUUAAAUUGUGUAUAGUAUAGUACUUGUUAUAUGGCGGUUUAUGGUUCAUUUAGGAACCAUGCUUUCUCUUAGUACACCCAUGUUUUCUAUUAUCUGCCCAAUCAAUCUAAAAAAAAAAGUGUAUACCUAUAUUCGCUUCUUCUUUUAUUUUUUUUUUGAGAGAUAGGUGACAUGGUAUCCGCUUCGUUUAUUUCAUUUAGAAAUAAAUUUAGCUGGAAAUGUGAAUCGAUUAGAAUUCGAACUUGAAAUCUCGGAUACCAAUCACCAAGUUUUUUGCCACUUGAGCUAGGGACGGUCGGUCCUAUAUUCGCUUCUAAAACUCAUUAAGAUUAAAAAUAUUUUUAAUAAAAUUAGAAAAUAAUUGGACUAAAUUUAAUUGGCUAAUAAAAAUAGAAUAUGCUCUGAUAAAAUUAGGGUUUAAGAGAGAUAUAUCUAACACAAGCAACGCUAGUAUACCUAGAAAGAAAGUGUCCUUUGUAUAAAGGCCAAUAUUUGAUACUUAUUUUAGUAAUUUUUUUGAGUGAAGAGCUAAGUUUGCCAUCAAAAGGGGUUGUAUUUUCUAUAACUCCUCAUCCGAAAAUUGUAGAAUGGGCUUUUUUUGCAAAUAGCCCCCUGACAAAUUUUAUUUGCAAAAAUAGCUUCGUCCAAAAAUUAUUUACAAAAAUGGUCCUGCUCCUGCCACGCUAGCGCCACGUCAGCGCCACGCGAGCAGGGCGGGUCCAGGUGUUUAAGUUGAACACGGUGAACCAUUCACCGUGUUCAAUACAAGAUUUUUGUAUUGGACACGGUGAAUCAUUCACCGUGUCCAAUACAAAAACUUUGUAUUGAACACGGUGAAUGAUUCACCGUGUUCAACUUAACCAUCUGGCCCAGCCCCGCCCGCGUGGCGCUGACGUGGCGCUUGCGUGGCGGGGCCAGGGCCAUUUUUGCAAAUAAAUUUUUGACAGGGCCAAUUUUAAAAAAAAAAUUUGUAAGGGGGCUAUUUGUAAAAAAAGCCCUUGUAGAAUUUACUAACUUUUUUUAAUUUUUAGAAAAAAAAAAUGAUAGGAUUUAUAAAGAAAAUGUGACUUCUCUAUUAGUAAAGUUGUAGGAAUAUAAUACAAAGUUGAUAAUCGAACUAGCAUUAAUGUAGAAAGUAUUAAAAUAUUCUUUAAACCUCAGGAUGGCGUGUAACGUGCAAAGAUGUACUUAUUAAUUUGGCUGCACAUGCUAUUGUUUUCAACUGACAGAGCUGUUCGUUGGGAGGAAUUCUACACUGUCACACUUACACCACGUCAUUAAUAACAAGCCAAUCACAUUCCUUCUUUUCAAACAAAAGUACAAUAAAAAUACUUUUUUACAAUCAUGAUGGGACAUAUAUUCUUAAAAGGAUUAAUUUGAUUGAUUUGUUACGCCACGUUACUAAUAUAACCGUUGCAUUCUAGAAUUUUUCGUUCGUUGGAAGGUCACAUCAAUUGUCUCUGUCAUUGCUGAUAAAAUAACAUGGUAUGAGUCAACCCAAAGCCCUAUCUUCUUCUGAAUCAAGAGCAGCAGAAUAGAUCUCUGGCCAUAGCUGAACUCGAAACAUUUUGCAAAGCAAGAAGAAUUUGAUCGAGCACCAUCACCCAAAUGGCGACGCUGGACGCUCUUUUCGGAAACUGCUCAGAGAAGCUCGCUGCUUUAAUCCAGGAUGAGGUGGCGAUGAUUCUCGGAGUGAAGGAAGAGCUCCGGAAGCUGCAGAGGAGGAUGAAGCGGAUCGACGGCGCACUGAAGAAAGUAGAGCGGGAGAGGACCGAAGAUGCCGCUUGGUUGAAUGAGCUGCAAAGUAUCUUGCAUGAAGCGAACGAUGUCUUUGACGAACUCAGGUAUGAGCUGCCGUCCGCAUCUUCAUCAGUUCUGUCGAUUCUCUGCUGCCUUCCUAUAUUCUCUUUCUUCAACUCCAUUCGAGUUCGUCACAACUUAGCCGAGAGAAUUAGAGACCUCAACAAUAGAAUCGAUGCGGUUGCGAAGGACCAGUGGAUCUUUAAUCUUGAGUCGGUAAAUGCGACGGUGGGUCGAGUGGCGAGCAUGUCGUCCACGCGCGAGACUUGUGAGAUCAUGGAAGCCGACGUCGUUGGGAGAGAGAUCGAAGAUGCUACCGACGUAUUGGUCGAGAUGAUAGUCGCGAACAACCGACGGAAUUUUCAAGUGAUUGCUGUAGCAGGCAUGGGAGGGAUCGGCAAGACCACGCUCGCUCAGAAGGUGGACAACAAUCCUAGAAUCCGAGAGAACUUCCAGGUGAGAAUUUGGAUUUGCGUCUCCCAAAAAUAUUCAGCUGUUCAACUGCUACAGGAGAUCACUCGAAAAGCAGGAGGCAGCCACGGAAGUGCCGAACGGGUUUUGGAACUGCUCCCUAUUCUCAGCCGGACACUUGGAGGGAGGAGAAUCUUUCUUGUGCUGGACGACGUAUGGCGAUCGAACGUAUGGACCGAUUUACUCCGAAACCCGCUACAAAAUGGAGCAGCUAGAGGAUGUGUUCUGGUGACCACGAGAGACCAGAACGUUGCGAUGAGAAUGGGUGCGAAACACAUUCACCGGGUGGAGAAAAUGUCUGUUGCCUCAGGCUGGGAGUUGCUUUGCAAGAAAACCUAUCUAGAAGAAGAAGGAGAAGAUGCGCAAAGUUUGAGAAGUGUGGGGGUUCAAAUUGUUAACAAAUGCGGCGGUCUUCCCCUUGCUAUCAAAGUGAUUGCCGGUGUCUUAACCACCAAGGAGAAAAGCAGAAAAGAGUGGGAGAAAGUUCUCAAAAGCAAUGCUUGGUCUAUGAGUGAGCUUCCUAAGGAAUUCACAGGUGCUCUCUACUUAAGUUACGAUGAUUUGCCGCUUCAUCUGAAGCAAUGCUUUCUUUCGUUAUGCCUUUACCUUGAGGAUGAUGUACACCGCAUUUGGGAUCUUCGCAGGAUGUGGGUGGCAGAGGGGUUUGUCAAGCAAGAAGAAGGUUUAACAAUGGAAGAGUUGGCCGAGCAAUACUACUUCGAGCUAAUACGUAGGAGUCUACUACAACCUGAUCCUCGUCAUGUGGAUAAGAGCAGGUGCAAAGUACACGAUCUCUUGAGAUCUCUCAGUCAAUAUUUGUCACGAGAUGAAAGUUACUAUGGAGACCCACAGUCCUUGGAUGCUACUGCAAUCUCAAAGCUUCGCCGCUUGUCAAUUGCUGGGAGCGGAGAGAUUGUUACAAUCCCUGGUCCGGAAACUGAGCAGCUACGCUUGAGCACUUUACUACUAAUUAAGAGUCCACCUAGAAUUGAGCGCAAUCUUUUCUCUAGAGUUCCAUACCUCCAAGUUUUAAUUCUUAAUGGAAAAGGGAUAGAAUGCGUUCCUGAUAGUGUGGGAAAUCUAAUACACCUCCGAUUGCUAGAUCUUAAUCGCACUAACAUAUCCAAUCUGCCAGACUCUAUUGGAUUCCUAAAAAAUUUGCAGACUUUAAACCUACGACAUUGCAAAUUUUUGAACACACUUCCAAGGAGCAUCACUCGCUUAUGCAGUCUUAGACGGCUUGGCCUUUCACGUACCCCUUUGAGAUGUGUCCCUGAAGGAAUAGGGAGACUGCAACUGCUCAAUGACCUCGAUGGAUUCGUUAUUAACGCAGAUGUUAGUUGCAAUACCGAACGAAACAGUUGGGACUUGGAAGAAUUGAAAUCACUUGGCCAACUAAGGUGGCUCAAAUUAUCUAUCUUGGGGGGAAAACGGAACGCAAAUUCUGUGCACUCCGCGGAUGACCUGAUAGUUCAACCGCCGACAGUAACUCAUCCAAGGAAUACGGCUUCUGUACUUGAAGGAAAAGCCUUCCUAAAAGAACUAAUUAUAUUAUGUAGACCACAGAAAAAGAGGGAAAAAGUGCUGCCAUACACAGAGGAGGAGAUCAGUAAGAUUGAAGAUAUCUUUGAGAAAUUGCACCCUCCAACUUGUUUAGAACGAUUAUGGAUCCACAACUUUUAUGGUCGGCAUAUUCCGAGUUGGAUGCUGUCGUCAUCUUUGGGUACUUAUCUUCCUUAUCUAACAUCUGUGAAUUUCAAAGGUUUGCCACUAUGCCUACAACUUCCACCUCUAGGCCAGUUGCCACAUCUGUGGUAUCUCGGAAUCGAAAAUGCUUUUGCGAUUGUAACUAUUGGUCCAGAAUUACUCGGUAUUGGGGUAGGUGACGGGGUGCACGCAGCAACAGCCUUUCCUAAGCUUGAAUUUCUUAAUAUGGUAAACAUGCCUAAUUGGGAAGAAUGGUCCUUAGUUGGCAGUGAAACAGGAAACUCAUCAUCUCGCUCGCUGCGAGUUAUGCCUCGUCUGGAGGUAUUGUGUGUAAUAGAUUGCCCAAAACUUCGAGCACUUCCAAAAGGUUUGCAGCAACUCAGAGCACUCCAGAAUUUGAAAGUUGAACGAGCUCAUAGCCUAAGCGUAAUUGAGGACUUCCUGUUCAUAACUGAACUUAUAAUCAUAAAGAAUGGCUGCAUGGAAAGGAUUUCAAAUCUUCCUGCACUAAAGAAGCUCACCAUUUGCGGCACUCCGGCUCUAAAGUGCGUCCAUAAUUUGGCUGCACUACAACACCUAGAGUUGCAAGAUUAUUCUAUGGAAUCCCUCCCAGAAUGGUUGUUGAGACUGGUCCAGCAACGGGCGCAUCUUCACGACAAAAACCUCCAACUUGUGAUUCGCUGCAGUGUCGCCGUAAUUCAGAGAUGCCUCAAGGGAGGGCAUGACUGGCCCAUCAUCGAGUGCUUUUCUCAUGUCCGCGCCUACACCAAAGAUAGAUCAGCAUAUCUGGAAUAUACCAAGCAAACUGGGUGCUAUCGAACCAAUCAAUGAAAGUAACAUCGGCAAAAACUUUCCUACUCUUCUCAUUUUGUUUCUUUUCUUUAUCGAUUAGAUGUUUUGUACUUCAAACUGUUAUGUUGGUAUUGUCUCAAUUCCAAGGAGCUUUGGUUGUUCUUCUCAAUAAAAAUUCUGCUUCAAUAAUGGUGCUUCAUUUCCAUUAUUCUAAAAUUCCCUUCAGUCUGCCUUUUAAGUGAAUUUUAUUAUCUUAAGAUAAAAUUAUCUAGAACUUAUUUGAACUAUGGAUCAUUUUGAGUCAGCUAUCCAAUCUUUUAAAAUUUUGAUUUUACUAUCAAAUCUUUCAAUAUAUUUAUUUUGACUUAGUCAACAACAUUUUAAAUUCAAAAUUUAAGUUAAUUGGUUACUUCAAUAAAUUUAUAGUUGCAAAAAUUACAUGAAGUAUAUAUUGACUAAACCCGUAAAGAUAAACGAUGCAUUCCAAUUUUGAAGUUAAAACACCGUUGACUUACUCAAAUCAAAUAAAUUGAUAAAUUAAAUACUAAAAUCAAAAUUUUUAAAGAAUAGAUAGUCAACUCAAAAUGAUUUAUAGUUUGUAAUAAAUUUUGCACGUUUCACCUUAUCUUAACUCAAUUGUAGAAAUAUCAUAGUGUGGAAUGUAUAAAUAUUCUUUUGAUUUACAAAAGCCAUUUAUUGUGUGAGUGCAUGCAUUCUAUUUGCUCAUGCUGAAAAUAAGUACAUUUGAUCAGGCAAUCAACUGAUCAAAAGUCAGAUCCUUCAAUUGAUCCUUUCAGUUCUAUUAGAAGGAUCGGUUUAUUUUUUUGAAGAGAAAGGUAGCAUAUUACCGGCUUCCUUUAUUUUUUUUAGAAAAAAUUAGUUUGAAAUGUAAAGCAAUUAAAAUUUUGAAUUUGGGAUCUCAGAUAUCAACUACCAUGCCCUUGAGUCGUUUGUCACUUGUGCUAGGCACAGCUGGUUAGUAAGAUGGUUUAUGAUCUUUUUGUUGUGAGAGUUUGUCGAUCACUUUCGGGCCGUCGACCAAUUCACAGUGAAAGUUUUUAUUUUGAGAAAGAGGUAGCACGCUAUCCGCUUUAUUAAAAAAAAAAAUUAUCACAGUCAAAGUUACCUGGUUUUUUUCCUGAAACAAAGCCCUCUUUGGUUAGCUACUCCUGUAUCAAUAAUUUGAACAUUUUAGUCUUAAAAAAAAAAACAACAACUAAUCUGAACAUUUUGCUGAUAUAAACCUCUCAAUUAACUAAGCAACCAGGCUUCAUUGCUUAGCUGCAGUUUGGUUUCUAGGAAAAUCAUGAAAAGAAAUUGUGGAAAAGAUGUUUUUCAUGAAAAACUUUUUUUCAAACUUUUUUUUGGCCCAUUUGGUUCUAACUUUUUCAUGAUUUUUCUAACUUUUUUUCUUCUUUUUUCUUUUUUCUACAAAGGCUCUGAUUGCCUCACCUCUGUAGCCUAGUUCAUCAAUCCAAUUAAUGAAACGGAUAGCGUGCUACCUUUUUCCUCAAAAAAAACUUUUUUUUGGCCCAUUUGGUUCUAAGAAAAAUUUGUUUUUUAAGAAAUUUUUUUCUUGAUUUUACCAAAAAAUUAUUGUUUUUGUUUGCUUUUUUUUUUUGAAAAAAACGAAAACAAUAGUUUUCCAUGAAAUAUGGAAAUUCUUUUUUCCAAAUAAAGCUUUUUUUUAAAAUCAAAGAGGUGGAAAACUGAAAAAAAAAAUUCAGAAUAUAUUCUAUAAUAUCAUAUUUUGCAUACCACAAUGUCAUUCUAUAUAUAAAAAAAAGAAAAGCCAUAUUUAUGUAUGCUUUCGCCUUACUUCCAUUAAUAAGUAGACCUUAAUACCAAACAGAUCCUAACUCUACAACGUGACCCAAUUGAAAAUAUGACUAAAAGUCAACAUGCUUUUAAAGCCUAUUACACCCUAGUUCAUAUGUAGAAUCGAGCCCAGUAUAGACCUUAAACAAAGCCCAAAUACUGACCCUUGCAAUUUUAUGUUUCUUCUUUCUCUUUUCUCAAAGCCUAAAUAAAUUUAAGGUAUCUAAAUUUUCAUGUGUACACAUACACCUAAGCAAAAUACGACAAGAAAGUAGAAUAGCAAAACAAUCGAUAUCACAAUGAGUCCAUUAUGAUAUAUUUUCUACCGUCCCUAAUGAAAAAUUAAAAAGUAUAUUUUUAUAUAUUUUUGUUCCAAUUCUGUAGUGUUUUUAUUAGCAUUAUAAGCCUUCAUACUAAACGGGCGCUUUAUCUGUUGGUCCAUUUAAUUUGAUCUUGAGUUUUAGUGGCUGAAUUUGGAUUUUAGGCCUUUGUUUGGUAUUUCUUAGUUGCUUCUCCUCAUAUUUUUGAAGACUCUCGCUAUUCUUUUGUGAUCAUCAGCUACAAUAAAGAGUGGCUUGUUGUCCUCUUGUUUAUUUAUUAUUCAGUUGUGUUGUAUUCAGUUAAAUAAAAUUUGCCUAUAUAUUAUGGGUGUUCUCCAUAAAAAUAUGUGAUCUAAAAGUUAGAGAAGUGAAAAACUCAUUCCGCUAGUGAAAAUCCAUUCAACCCAAAAGUUUAAGCCUGGUGGGUGAGACAUAUUAAUAAACAUUGAAUUUAUUAGUCUUUUGUUAAUUAUUCGAUAUGAAACUAUAAACAAGUGAAAUUCUAACACUAAGGACCCUUCAAAUUAGGAUUGGAGUGGGCAAACUGAGUAGUUGAGCACAAAACAAGCAAAUCUCUCCUUUUCUUUUCAUAAUGUUUUUCUAAUUGAUACAAUGGUAGGUAUGUACAAAUAUCCACUUCUCUCUAUAUUAUGAAAGUUUUUACAGCUCUAAACUAAUUUUCAACAAUAGGACAUUGGAAACGUCUAUCCAUACUAUUGAACAUUAUCUUAAAUAGUUGUAGUUUAAUUGAACCCGCAAAAUAGAACAAUUUUUUGUCAAAUGUAUUCUAACUUUACUUCUUCUAUAUACAAAACAAUAAAUGUCAUAUGCCAGCCGUCAAAAUUUAUGUUUGGAAUAGUUUGAAUAUAAAGUAGAAAAAUACUAGAACAUUAGGGCAUUCACUUUCUAAAGUAACAGUAUUGAUUAUAAUAGAUGAUGAGAAGGAAAGCAAAGAGAAUUAAUCUGCUGAGGUAAAAAUGUGCGGAGACCCCUCGCCUAUCGGCCAUUUUGAAAUAACCCUCUCAAUUUUAAUCUUUUUCGUAUUGGUGAGCUUUUUCAGUUAGCUAAGUUAGAAACUCUGCAAUAUUUGACAAUUCUAUUAGCUAUCAGUAGUUAAUUGUUUUAGUUUAAAAUGAAUCAAAACUAUUACUUUUGAUAAAAAACACUUGUGAACUCGAUAAAAUUUACUCAACCAUGAAAGAUCAAAAUUUAUAGUUGAAGGGGUCUUCAUGCAUUUUUACCAUCUACAAAUUGAUGGAUACUUGUGGCCACUAAUUAAUACUUACUACGAUGGGCAAUGACCACUUAAGAUAUAGUUAAAUUAAAUCAAUUGGAUAAGAUAUUGUUAAUCAAAGCAAUUAGAUCUUUCAAAGUUAGUGCUCCAAGUUUAUGCUCAACACAAAAAAGAAAGUAAAAAUGAAAAUAAAAAUAAAGUUAGUGCUCAAAGGAGUGCAUCUUUUAGCAACACAUUUCAUACUAACUGCACACAUUUUGCCGCACGCUUUUUUUGAUGACUCACCUGAAUCCGGCUCGUCACUGUAAGCCUUUCGGUUCGGCAUGAUCCUUUCCGAGUUAGGGCCUUCUGCUUAAAAGUAAAAAACCCUUAUGUAGUAUGCUACUCGCUUCGUUUAUUUUAUUUAGAAAUAAAUUUAGCUAAAAAUUUGAAUCAACUAGAAUUCGAACUUGGGAUCUCGGGUGCCAACCACCAAGUUUUUUGCCACUUGCGCUAGGGACGGUCGGUCCUAUAUUCGCUUCUACAACUCAUUAAGAUUAAAAUUUUUUUUUAAUAAAAUUAGAAAAUAAUUUGACCUGGGGCGCCGAGCUAUCUCUUCCUGGCCCAUCUAGCUAUGUUGUGCUUUGCUUGGUCUUGUUUAGCUUUGCUGAUUCUUCUUUACCCAGCUUUGGGUCCUUUCUCAUUUGCCUUAUUUGACUAUGUGUUUCCCUUCCUCAAAUAGGGUAUACUUCUGUUUAAUCAAAAAAAAAGAAAGAAAAGAAAAUAAUUUGACUAAAUUUAAUUGGCUAAUGAAAAUAGAAUAUGCUUUGAAAAAAAUAGGGUUUAAGAGAGAUAUAUCUAACACAAGCAAUGCUAGUAUACCUAGAAAGGAAGUGUCCUUUGUAUAAAGGGCAAUAUUUGAUACUUAUUUUAUUAAUUUUUUUGAGUGAAUUAAGAACUAAGUUUGCUAUCAAAAGGGGUUGUAUUUUCUAUAACUCCUCAUCCGAAAAUUGUAGAAUUUUUUUGAGUGAACAACUCAGUUUGCUAUUUUUUUUAAAAAAAAAAGUUAUUGUAGGAAUAUAAUACAAAGUUGACAAUCGAACUAGCAUUAAUGUAGAAAGUUUUAAAAUAUUCUUUAAACCUCAGGACGGCGUGUAACGUGCAAAGAGGUACUAAUAAUUAAUUUGGCUGCACAGCUAUUGUUCUCAACCGACAAAGCCGUUCGUUGGAACGUGCAAAGAUGUCUCCGUCAAUUGCUUAUAAAAAUAACAUGGCAUAAUAAAGUCAACUUAAAGGCAUAGACUAUCUUCUUCUGAAUCAAGAGCAGCAGAUAGAUCUCUGGCCAUAGCUGAACUCGAAACAGUUUGCAAAGCAAGAAGAAUUUGAUCGAGCACGAUCACCCAAAUGGCGACGCUGGACGCUCUGUUCGGAAACUGCUCAGAGAAGCUCGCUGCUUUAAUCCAGGAUGAGGUGGCGAUGAUUCUCGGAGUGAAGGAAGAGCUCGCGACGCUGCAGAGGAGGAUGAAGCGGAUCGGCGGCGCGCUGAAGAAAGUAGGGCGGGAGAGGACCGAAGAUGCCGCUUGGNGCCCCACGCUGCUGAAGGCGCCGUUGCCACAGCGUCCACCGCCCAAGUUGCCCGACGCUGCCCGAGCCGCAUCUGCCAUCGCCGCCCGAGCUGCUAAGCCCGAGCCGAACGCCAAUCGAACCGACGCCGCGUGCACCAUCAACACCAUCUUGCCUGUUGCCGUUGCCGCUGAAGCCGAGGUCGCAACGUCUCAAUUGAUUUGAUUGCUUCGGGAAUGGGGAGCAAGAAAAAAACAUUAAAAGGAAAAAAAAUAGAGUGUUGUUUCUUUGCUUACUCUGAAGUGUACCCCAUAAAUUUUUUAAUGAUAUUUUGAGUUAAAUUAAAAAAAUGAUGAGACUUGCAUAUUGUUAAAAGACGCAAAGAGAGAGCGCCCGGUCAUCCACAUCUUCUUCAAUUGCAAAGCAAAACAAAAACAAAGAAAAAAGAGAGGAAAAAGAGCAAAAAUUGUAUAUAUAUAUAUAUAUAUAUAUAUAGAAAUAAUUUUUUUUUUUGUCCGCCGACUUUUCAUGUUACCAAAAACAAUUUAUUAAAAAAAUAAACUUUUUCACCAUUUCAAAAAAAAAAUUUGUCUUUUUGCAUCUUUUUCUCUCUCCCAUCUAAAAAUCUUUUUGCUUUUCAAUCUUCGUAAGAAAUAAUAUAUUAAAAAAAAUUUUAUCUUUUCAAGAGAUAAUCAAAGCUUCAAAAGCUCAGUUUCUAUCUUCAUUCCUUGAUUUUGAUCUCAUAUAAUUUUGAAGUUAGUUUUCAUGAACAAAAGAGUAAUAUUUUGAGUUUUGAAUUUUGGGUUAGCAACUAUUUUAAUAUUAAGAAGUUAAUAAUUUUUCCGAAUGUAUUUAGUAUGAAUUUAAAAUUUAAAAUUUAAAAUUUAAAAUAAUUAUAUAUUAAUUUAUUAAAGUUUAUAUCAAAAUAUUAGUGUCAAAAUUGUCCGCAGCGAAGCCCGGAUUCAACACUAGUAUAAUACAAAGUUGACAAUACAAAGUUGACAAUCGAACUAGCAUUAAUGUAGAUAGUUUUAAAAUAUUCUUUAAACCUCAGGACGGCGUGUAACGUGCAAAGAGGUACUAAUACUUAAUUUGGCUACACAGCUAUUGUUCUCAACUGACAAAGCCGUUCGUUGGAACGUGCAAAGAUGUCUCUGUCAAUUGCUUAUAAAAAUAACAUGGUAUAAUUAAGUCAACUGAUCAAAGGCCUAUCUUCUUCUGAAUCAAGAGCAGCAGCAUAGAUCUCUGGCCAUAGCUGAACUCGAAACAUUUUGCAAAGCAAGAAGAAUUUGAUCGAGCACCAACACGCAAAUGGCGACGCUGGACGCUCUUCUCGGAAACUGCUCAGAGAAGCUCGCUGCUUUAAUCCAAGAUGAGGUGGCGAUGAUUCUCGGAGUGAAGGAAGAGCUCGCGAACCUGCAGAGGAGGAUGAAGCGGAUCGACGACGCACUGAAGAAGGCAGGGCGGGAGAGGACCGAAGAUACCGCUUGGCUGAAUGAGCUGCAAAGUAUCUUGCAUGAAGCAAACAAUGUCUUUGACGACCUCAGGUAUGAGCUGCCGUCCGCAUCUUCAUCAGUUCUGUCGAUUCUCUGCUGCCUUCCUAUGUUCUCUUUCUUCAACUUCAUUCGUGCUCGUCACAACUUAGCCAAUAGAAUCAGAGCCCUCAACAAUAGAAUCGAUGAAGUUGCAAAGGACCAGUGGAUCUUUAGUCUUGAGUCGGCAAAGACGGUGGGUCAAGUGGCGAGCAUGUCGUCCACGCGCGAGACUUGUGAGAUCAUGGAAUCCGACGUCGUCGGGAGAGAGAUCGAUGAUGCUACCGACGAAUUGGUCGAGAUGAUAGUCACGAACAACCGACGGACUUUUCAAGUGAUUGCUGUAGCAGGCAUGGGAGGGAUCGGCAAGACCACGCUCGCUCAGAAGGUGUACAACAACCCGAGAAUUGGAGACCACUUCCAGGUAAGAAUUUGGAUUUGCGUCACCCAAAAAUAUUCAGAUGUUCGAUUAACGCAGGACAUCAUUCGAAAAGCCGGAGGAAGUUGCGGCACUGCCGAACGGCUCUGCGAAUUGCUCCCUAUUCUCUGCCGGACUCUUGGAGGGCGGAGCAUCUUUCUCGUGCUGGAUGAUGUAUGGCGAUCGGACGUAUGGACCGAUUUACUCCGAAACCCGCUGCAAAAUGGAGCAGCUAGUGGAUGUGUUCUGGUGACCACAAGAGACCAGAACGUUGCGAUGAGAAUGGGGGCGAAACACAUUCACUGGGUGGAGAAAAUGACUGUUGAUUCAGGCUGGGAGUUGCUUUGUAAGAGAACAUAUCUCGAAGAAGAAGGAGAAGAUGUGCAAUGUUUGAGAAGUGUGGGGGUUCAAAUUGUUAACAAAUGCGGCAGCCUUCCGCUUGCAAUUAAAGUGAUUGCCGGUGUCUUAACCACCAAGGAGAAAAGCAGAAAAGAGUGGGAGAAAGUUCUCAGAAGCAAUGCUUGGUCUAUGAGUGAGCUUCCUGAGGAAUUCAGGGGUGCUCUCUACUUGAGUUACGACGAUUUGCCGCCUUAUCUGAAGCAAUGCUUUCUUUCUUUUUGCCUUUACCCUGAGGAUUAUGGACACCGCAUUUGCGAUCUUCGCAAGAUGUGGGUGGCAGAGGGGUUUGUCAAGCAAGAAGAAGGUUUAAUAAUGGAAGAGUUAGCCGAUCAAUACUACUCCGAGCUAAUACGUAGGAGUCUACUACAACCUGAUCCUCGUUAUGUGGAUCAGGGCAUGUGCACAGUACACGAUCUCUUGCGAUCUCUCGCUCAAUAUUUGUCACGAGGUGAAAGUUACUAUGGAGAUCCACAGUCCUUGGAUGCUACUGCAAUCUCAAAGCUUGCGCGCUUGUCAAUUGCUGAGAACGGAGAGAUUGUUACAAUCCCUGGUCCAAACACUGAGCAGCUACGCUUGAGGACAUUACUACUAUUUAAGAGUCCACCUAGAAUUGAGCACAAUCUUUUCUCUAGAGUUCCAUACCUCCAAGUGCUGCUUCUUAAUGGAGAAGGGAUAGAAUGCAUUCCUGAUAGUGUGGGAAGUCUAAUAAACCUUCGAUUGUUAGAUCUUGAUCGGACUAGCAUAUCCAGGCUGCCGGACUCUAUCGGCUUCCUAACGAAUUUGCAGAUUUUAAACUUACGAGAUUGCAAAUUUCUAAACACACUUCCAAGGGGCAUCACUUGCUUAUGCAGUCUUAGACAGCUUGGCCUUUUUGGGACCCCUUUAAGAAGUGUCCCCGAAGGAAUAGGGAGACUACAACUGCUCAAUGACCUCAGUGGAUUUGUUAUUAAUGCAGACGGUAGUUGCAAUACCGAACAAAAUAGUUGGGACUUGGAAGAAAUGAGAUCACUAGGCCAACUAAGGUUGCUCCAAUUAUCUAUUUUGGGGGGGGGACAGAAUGCAAGUUCCGUGCAGUCCACUGAUGACAUAAUAGAUCAACCGCUGACGGUAACUCAUCUAAGGAAUAGGGCUUUUGUACUUGAAGAUAAAGCCUUCCUAAAAUAUCUAGCUAUAUCCUGCACACCGCAGACGGAGAGGGCAGAAGCACUGCCAUACACAGAGGAGGAAAUCAGUAAUAUUGAAGACACCUUUGAGAAAUUGCACCCUCCAACUUGUUUAGAAACAUUAUUUCUCGCCAACUUUUACAGUCAUCAUAUGCCGAGUUGGUUGCUGUCGUCAUCUUUGGGUACUUAUCUUCCUCAUCUAACAUACGUGAAAUUCAUAGGUUUGCCACUAUGCCCACAAAUUCCACCUCUAGGCCAAUUGCCGCAUUUGAGGUUUCUCCGAAUCGAAGAUGCUUUGGCAAUUGUAACUAUUGGUCCAGAAUUACUCGGUAAUGGGGUUGGUGACGGGGUGCACGCAACAACAGCCUUUCCUAAGCUUGAAUUUCUUAUCAUGAAAGGCAUGCCUAAUUGGGAAGAAUGGUCCUUAGUUGGCAGUGAAACAGGAAACUCAUCAUCUUGCUCACUUCGAGUUAUGCCUCGUUUAGAGCAGUUGUAUGUGAUAGAUUGCCCAAAACUUAGAGCACUUCCAAAAGGUUUGCAGCAACUCAGAGCACUCCGGAUUUUGCGCGCUACAAGGGCUCAUAGCCUAAGUGUAAUUGAGGACUUCCUAUUCAUUACUGAGCUUAAAAUCUACAUAAAUAAUGGCAUGGAAAGGGUCUCAAAUCUUCCUGCACUAAGGAAGCUCACCAUUUAUGACACUCCGGCUCUAAAGUGCGUCGAUAAUUUGGUUGCACUACAAUACCUAGAGUUGGAAGAUUAUUCUAUGAAGUCCCUCCCAGAAUGGUUGUUGAGACUGGUCCAGCAACGCGCGCAUCUUCGCGACGAAAACCUCCAACUUGUGAUGCGCUGCAAGGCUGCCGUAAUUCAGAGAUGCCUUAGGGGAGGGCCAGACUGGCCUAUCAUCGAGUGCUUUUCUCGUGUCAGCGCCUACACCAAAGAUAGAUCAGCAUAUCUGGAAUAUACCAAGCAAAGUGGGUGCUAUCGAACUAAUCAAUGAAGGUAACAUCGGUGAAAACUUUCCUACUUCUCUUCUCAUUUUCCUUUUUUUUUCCUUCUCGAUUAGUCGUCUUGUACUUCAAACUAUUAUGUUUGGCAUCAUCUCAAUUCUCAAACUUAACUGCAUUCAUUAUCUAUGCUAGUUCAUGAUAUUUCCCUAGUUUUCUCUCUAUUCCUAGGAGCUUGCAUAAAUGCCUGGCUAGCUAAGCGCGCUUUGCUUGUUUUUUAAAAUAAAAUUCUGCUUCAAUAAUGGUGCUUCAUUUCCAUUAUUCUAAAAUUUCCUUCAGUCUCCCUUUCAAGUGAGUUUCAUUGUCUUAAGAUAAAGUUAUACAGAAUUUAUCUGAACUAUGAAUCGCUUUGAGUCAGCUAUCUAAUCUUUCUAAAUUUUGAUUUUACUAUUCAAUUUUUUAAUUUAUUUGAUUUUAGUGGGUCAGUACCACUUUGACUUCAAAAUUUAAACUAACUGAUUAAUUUAAUAAAUUUAUAGUUGUGAAAAUCACAUAAAAUAUGUUAACUAAAUCUGUAAAGAUAAACGACACAUUCAAAUUUUGAAGAUAAAUGCCGUUGACUAAACUCAAAUCAAAUAAAUUGAAAUAUUAAAUACUAAAAUCAAGAUUUUGAAAGGUUGGAUAGUUAACUCAAGAUGGUUUAUAGUUCGAAUAAAGUUUGCAUGUUUCACCUUAUCUUAACUCAAUUGUAGAAAUAUAUAUCAUAGUGUGGAAUGUAUAUGUAUUCUUUUGAAUUUACAAAAGCCAUUUAUUCUGUGUUUGCAUUUAUUCUAUUUGCAUGCUGAAAAAUAAGUACAUUUGAUCAGGCAAUCAACUGAUCAAAAGUCAGAUCUUUCAACUGGUCCUUCCAGUUCUAUUAGUAAAAAGUUUUUUUUUCUUUUUUUCUUUUUUUUUUUUUGAGAGAAAGAUAAGGUGCUAUUUAUUUUUUUUAGAAAAUACUUAGCUGGAAAUAUAAAGCAACUAAGCUUUGAACUUAAAAUCUUGGAUACCAACCAUUAUACCCUUUGUCACUUAUAUUAGAGAUGGUUGGUUAGUAAGAUCAGUUUACGAUCUUUUUGUUGCGAGAGUUUGUCGAUCAUUUUCGGGCCGUCGCCUAAUUCACAGUCAAAGUAAACUGGUUUUUUUUUCCUGAAACAAAGCCCUCUUUGGUUAGCUACUCCUGUGUCAAUAAUUUGAACAUUUUAGUCUCAAAGAAAAAAAAAGAAAACAACCCCAACUAAUGUGAACAUUUUGCUUAUAUGAACCUCUCUAUUAAUUACUAAGAACCCAGGCUUCAUUACUUAGCUGCUGUUUGAAAAGCAUGAAAAAAAAUUGUGGAAAAGAUGUGUUUCAUGAAAAACUUCUUUUCUAAUUUUUUUUGGCCAAUUUGGUUCUAAGAAAAAACUAGGUUUUUCAGAAAUUUUUUUUAUUGAUUUUACCAAAAAAUUAUUGUUUUCAUUUGCAAUUUAAAAAUAAAAAAAACGAAAACAAUAGUUUUCCAUGAAAUAUGAAAAAUGUUCUUCAAAAAAAGCUCUUUUUUUUUUAACCAAAGAGGUGGAAAACUAGAAAAAAAAAAAAUUUCAAAAUAUAUCUUGUAAUAUCACGUUCUGCAUACCAUAAUGUCAUCCUAUAAAAAAAAAAAAAAAAAACCAUUAUGAAUACUAAACGGACCCUAACUCUAUAACAUGCUUGUAAAGCUUAGUACACCCUAGUUCAAAUGUAGGAUCGAGCCCAGGAUAGGGCUUAAACAAAGCCCAGAUAUUGAUCCAUGCAACUUUAUGUUUCUUCUUUCUCUUUUCUCAGAGCCUAAAUAAAUUUUUAAGGUUUCUAAAUUUUCCUGUAUACACAUACACCGAAGCAAAAUAUAAUAAGAAAGUAGAAUAGCAAAACAUUCUAUAUCGCAAUGAGUCGAUUAGACCAUAUUUUCUACAAUCCUCAAAGAAAAACUAAAAGGUAUAUUUUUAUAUAUUUGUGUCCUAAUUCUGUAUUGUCUAUUAGAAUUAAAUAAGCCUUCAUACUAAACGGGCGCUUUAUCCGUUGGUCCGUUUAGUGUGAUCUUGGGUUUUAGUGGCUGAAUUUGGAUUUUAGGCCUUUGUUUGGUAAUUCUUAAUUAGUUGCUUCUCCUAUAUAAUAUUUUUGAAGAUUCUCGCCACCCUUUUGUGAUCAUCAGCCACAAUAAAGAGUGGCUUGUUGUCCUCUUGCUUAUUUGUUAUUCAGUUGCGUUGUAUCCAGUUAAAUAAAUUUGCCUAUAUAUUAUGAGUGUUCUCCAUAAAAAUACGUGAUCUGAAAGUUAGAGAAGUGGCAAAGGGCUAGUUGGCAAAGGGCUAGGUGAUCUGACCAUUCCUAGAGCAAGUGGCAAAGGGUUAGGUGGUUGGUACUUAAGACCCAAGUUCGAAUCCUAAUUGAUUCACAUUUUCAGCCAAGUUUAUUUCUAAAUGAAAUAAACAAAGCGGGUAGCGACUACCUACCUCUCAAAAAAAAAAAAGAAGUUAGAGAAGUGAAAAACUCAUUCCGCUAGUAAAAAUCCAUUCAACCUAAAAACUUAAGCCCGGUGGACUAGACCCAUUAAUAAACAUCGAAUUUAUUAGUUUCUUGUUAAUUAUUCGAUAUGAAACUAUUAACAAGUGAAAUUCUAAUACUAAAAGACCCUUCGAAUUAGGAUUGGAGUGGGCAAACUGAGUAGGAGAGCACAAAACAAGCAAAUCUCUCCUUUUUCUUUUCAUAAUAUUUUUUUAGUUGAUAUGGUGGCAAGCAUGUACAUGUAUUCACUUCUCUCCAUAUUAUGGAAGUUUUUACAGCUCCAAACUAAUUUUCAACGUUAGAACAUUUGAAAUGUCUUUCCAUACUAUUGAACAUUAUCUUAAAUAGUUGUAAUUUAAUUGAACUGGUAAAAUGGAACAAGUUUUUGUCGAAGGUAUUCUAACUUUACUUUUUCUAUAUAUAAAACGAUAAAUGCCGUAUGAUAGCUGUCAAAAUUUAUGUUUGGAAUAGUUUGAAUAUAAUAAAGUAGAAAAGUACUAAAACAUUACCAAGUUCACUUUCUAAAGAAUUCAAAUAUUGUAGAUUACAUCUAACAGUAUUGAUUAUCAUUUAGAUACUCUGUUAUUCGAAAUCAAGUUAUUAAGCAAACGUCUUGAUGUAAUUAAUUAAUUAAUAAUGCAUAAUCUUUUUUUUUUUGAGAUAAAAGCUAGGAUUAAUAUCUGUUUUAUUUAUAGCGAAUAUAAACUGAGCUACAGUAGUGGGGCAACUGCCCCAAAAAUCAAAAGCUUUUUGAACAAGAGCACGCAAAAAAACACAAAAAAAAAAAAAUAGUUAGUUUAUAAUGCAGAAUCUAGCUAACCUAUGUAAUUUAUAUAUGUGUUAGUUCACCACUCAUGCAGGUCUCUGACAAUUCUAACAGAAGUUAAUGAUGAUUCCCUGAUCAUCAUUUACUUUCCUUCCCCCAAUUGAUGACACCACAACACUCCCAUGAUUUGAUAAGAAAUUUUCCCAUCCCUCCAAAGUGAUAUGUAUCUUUUUUUCUUCAAAAAAAAAAAAAAAAANCCAAAUCAUAUUGGCACUUCACAAAGAUAAGCAACUUUUUUGAUGCCUAGCAUUGAAAAGUAGAUGAAGCCACUAAAAUGUGUCUUUCCUUAGCUUAGUUGACAUCUCCAAAAUAUAUAAAUUUAUAUACCACUUCUUAUCCCUCCAACUUAAUCUUCUCCCCUUUUUAUAAUAGAUGAUGAGAAGGAAAGCAAAGAGAAUUAAUCUACUAAGGUAAAAAUGUGCAGAGACCCCUCGCCUAUCGGCCAUUCUGAAAUAACCCUCUGAAUUUUAAUCGCUUUUUCUAUCGGUGAGCUUUUUCAGUUAGUUAAACUAUCAGUAGUUAAUUGUUUUAGUUUAUUUACUGAAAAAUGAAUCAAAACUAUUACUUUUGAUGUGAACUCAAUAAAAUUUACUCAAGAGCGAAAGAUCAAAAUUUAUAGUUGAAGGGGUCUUCAUGCAUUUUUACCAUCUACAAAUUUAUAGAAUUCGAGCUUGGGACCUCGGGUGCCAACCACCAAGUUUUUUGCCACUUGCGCUAGGGACGGUCUGUCCUAUAUUCGCUUCUAAAGCUCAUUAAGAUUAAAACUUUUUUUUAAUAAAAUUAGAAAAUAAUUUGACCUGGGGCGCCGAGCUAUCUCUUCCUGGCCCAUCUAGCUAUGUUGUGCUUUGCUUGGUCUUGUUUAGCUUUGCUGAUUCUUCUUUACCCAGCUUUGGGUCCUUUCUCAUUUGCCUUAUUUGACUAUGUGUUUCCCUUCCUCAAAUAGGGUAUACUUCUGUUUAAUCAAAAAAAAAGAAAGAAAAGAAAAUAAUUUGACUAAAUUUAAUUGGCUAAUGAAAAUAGAAUAUGCUUUGAAAAAAAUAGGGUUUAAGAGAGAUAUAUCUAACACAAGCAAUGCUAGUAUACCUAGAAAGGAAGUGUCCUUUGUAUAAAGGGCAAUAUUUGAUACUUAUUUUAUUAAUUUUUUUGAGUGAAUUAAGAACUAAGUUUGCUAUCAAAAGGGGUUGUAUUUUCUAUAACUCCUCAUCCGAAAAUUGUAGAAUUUUUUUGAGUGAACAACUCAGUUUGCUAUUUUUUUUAAAAAAAAAAGUUAUUGUAGGAAUAUAAUACAAAGUUGACAAUCGAACUAGCAUUAAUGUAGAAAGUUUUAAAAUAUUCUUUAAACCUCAGGACGGCGUGUAACGUGCAAAGAGGUACUAAUAAUUAAUUUGGCUGCACAGCUAUUGUUCUCAACCGACAAAGCCGUUCGUUGGAACGUGCAAAGAUGUCUCCGUCAAUUGCUUAUAAAAAUAACAUGGCAUAAUAAAGUCAACUUAAAGGCAUAGACUAUCUUCUUCUGAAUCAAGAGCAGCAGAUAGAUCUCUGGCCAUAGCUGAACUCGAAACAGUUUGCAAAGCAAGAAGAAUUUGAUCGAGCACGAUCACCCAAAUGGCGACGCUGGACGCUCUGUUCGGAAACUGCUCAGAGAAGCUCGCUGCUUUAAUCCAGGAUGAGGUGGCGAUGAUUCUCGGAGUGAAGGAAGAGCUCGCGACGCUGCAGAGGAGGAUGAAGCGGAUCGGCGGCGCGCUGAAGAAAGUAGGGCGGGAGAGGACCGAAGAUGCCGCUUGGUUGAAUGAGCUGCAAAGUAUCUUGCAUGAAGCGAACGAUGUCUUUGACGAACUCAGGUAUGAGCUGCCGUCCGCAUCUUCAUCAGUUCUGUCGAUUCUCUGCUGCCUUCCUAUGUUCUCUUUCUUCAACUCCAUUCGAGUUCGUCACAACUUAGCCGAUAGAAUCAGAGCCCUCAACAAUAGAAUCGACGAGGUCGCGAAGGACCAGUGGAUCUUUAAUCUUGAGCCGGUAAAGACGAUGGGUCGAGUGGCGAGCAUGUCGUCCACGCGCGAGACUUGUGAGAUCAUGGAAGCCGAUGUCGUCGGGAGAGAGAUCGAAGAUGCUGCCGACGAAUUGGUCGAGAUGAUAGUCACGAACAACCGAAGAAAUUUUCAAGUGACUGCUGUAGCAGGCAUGGGAGGGAUCGGCAAGACCACGCUCGCUCAGAAGGUGUACAACAACCCGAGAAUUGGAGACCACUUCCAGGUAAGAAUUUGGAUUUGCGUCACCCAGAAAUAUUCAGAUGUUCGACUGCUACAGGAGAUCACUCGAGAAGCAGGAGGUAGUCACGGAAGUGCCGAACGAGUUUCAAAACUGCUCCCUAUUCUCAGCCAGACCCUUGGAGGGAGGAGCAUCUUUCUCGUGCUGGACGAUGUAUGGCGAUCGAACGUAUGGACUGAUUUACUCCAAAACCCGCUACAAAAUGGAGCAGCUAGCGGAUGUGUUCUGGUAACCACGAGAGACCAGGACGUUGCGAUGAGAAUGGGCGCGAAACACAUUCACCGGGUGGGGAAAAUGACUGUUGAUUCAGGCUGGGAGUUGCUUUGCAAGAAAACCUAUCUAGAAGAAGAAGGAGAAGAUGCGCAAAGUUUGAGAAGUGUGGGGGUUCAAAUUGUUAACAAAUGCGGCGGCCUUCCGCUUGCAAUCAAAGUGAUUGCCGGUGUCUUAGCCACCAAGGAGAAGAGCAGAAAAGAGUGGGAGAAAGUUCUCAGAAGCAAUGCUUGGUCUAUGAGUGAGCUUCCUGAGGAAUUCAGGGGUGCUCUCUACUUGAGUUACGAUGAUUUGCCGCCUCAUCUGAAGCAAUGCUUUCUUUCCUUAUGCCUUUACCCUGAGAAUGAUGUACACUUCAUUCAUAAGCUUCGCACGAUGUGGGUGGCAGAGGGGUUUGUCAAGCAAGAAGAUGGUUCAAUAAUGGAAGAGUCAGCCGAGCAAUACCACUCCGAGCUAAUACGUAGGAGUCUGCUACAACCUGAUCCUCUUUCUGUGGAUCAGAGCAAAUGCACAAUACACGAUCUCUUGCGAUCUCUCGGUCAAUAUUUGUCACGAGGUGAAAGCUACUAUGGAGAUUCACAGUCCUUGGAUGCUACUGCAAUCUCAAAGCUUCGCUGCUUGUCAAUUGCUGAGAUCGGAGAGAUUGUUACAAUCCCUGGUCCAGAAACUGAGCGACUACGCUUGAGGACAUUACUACUAUUUAAGAGUCCACCUAGAAUUGAGCACAAUCUUUUCUCUAGAGUUCCAUACCUCCAAGUUUUGAUUCUUAAUGGAAAAGGGAUUGAAUGCGUUCCUGAUAGUGUGGGAAGUCUAAUACACCUCCGAUUGUUAGAUCUUGAUCGGACUAGCAUAUCCAAUCUGCCGGACUCUAUUGGAUUCCUAACAAAUUUGCAGACUUUAAACUUACAAGAUUGCAAAUUUCUGAACACACUUCCAAGGAGCAUCACUCACUUAUGCAGUCUUAGACGGCUUGGCCUUGUUGGUACCCCUUUAAGAAGUGUCCCCGCAGGAAUAGGGAGACUGCAACUGCUCAAUGACCUCAAAGGAAUCAUUAUUAAUGCAAAUGAUAGUUGCAAUACCGAACAAAACAGUUGGGACUUGGAAGAAUUAGAAUCACUUGGCCAACUAAGGUGGCUCCGAUUACAUAUUUUGGAAAGGAAACGGAAUGCAAAUUCCGUGCAGUCCACUGAUGACAUAAUAAAUCAACCGCCGACCGUAACUCAUCCAAGGAAUAGGGCUUUUGUACUUCAAGAUAAAGCCUUCCUAAAACAACUAGCUAUAGUCUGCAGAUCACAGAUGGAGAGGGUAGAAAUGCCCCCAUACACAGAAGAGGAGAUCAAUAAGAUUGAAGAUAUCUUUGAGAAAUUGCACCCUCCAACUUGUUUAGAACAAUUAUGGGUCGGCAACUUUUACGGUCAGCAUAUUCCGAGUUGGAUGCUGUCAUCGUCUUUGGGUACUUGUCUUCCUUAUCUAACUUUUGUGAAUUUCUUAGGUUUGCCACUAUGCCUACAACUUCCACCUCUAGGCCAAUUGCCGCAUUUGAGGUAUCUCCGAAUCCGAAAUGCUUUUGCGAUUGUAGCUAUUGGUCCAGAAUUACUCGGUAUUGGGGUUGGUGACGGGGUGCACGCAGCAACAGCCUUUCCUAAGCUUGAAUUUCUUAUCAUGGAAGGCAUGCGUAAUUGGGAAGAAUGGUCUUUAGUUGGCAGUGAAACUGGAAACUCAUCAUCUCACUCGCUCCGAGUUAUGCCUCGUCUGGAGGUAUUGUGUGUAAUAGAUUGCCCAAAACUCAGAGCGCUUCCAAAUGGUUUGCAGCAACUCGGAGCACUCCGGAUUUUGCGCACUCCAAUGGCUCAUAGCCUAAGUGUAAUUGAAGACUUCCUGUUCAUAACUGAGCUUGAAAUCAAAAUGAAUGACGGCAUGAAAAGGAUCUCAAAUCUUCCUGCACUAAAGAAGCUCACCAUUUGGGACACUCCGGCUCUAAAGUGCGUCGAUAAUUUGGUUGCACUACAAUGCCUAGAGUUGCAAGAUUAUUCUAUGGAGUCCCUCCCAGAAUGGUUGUUGAGAUUGGUCCAGCAACACGCGCAUCUUCGCGGCAAAAACCUCCAACUUGUGAUGCGCUGCAGCACCGCCGUAAUUCAGAGAUGCCUCAAGGGAGGGCCAGACUGGCCCAUCAUCGAGUGCUUUUCUCGUGUCAGCGCCUACACCAAAGAUAGAUCAGCAUAUCUGGAAUAUACCAAGCAAACUGGGUGCUAUCGAACUAAUCAAUGAAGGUAACAUCGGUGAAAACUUUCCUGCUUCUCUUCUCAUUUUGUUUCUUUUCUAUAUCGAUUAGAUGUUUUGUGCUUCAAACUGUUAUGUUGGUAUUGUCUCAAUUCUCAAACCUAACUGCAUGCGUUAUAUAUCUAUGCUAGUUCAUGAUAUUCUGUAGUUUUCUCUCUAUUCCAAGGAGCUUUGGUUGUUUUUUUAAAUAAAAAUUCUGUUUCAAUAAUUAAUGGUGCUUCAUUUCCAUAUAUUAUUCUAAAAUUCCCUUCUGCCUUUUUAGUGAUUUUUAUUAUCUUAAGAUAAAAUUAUCUGGAACUUAUCUGAACUAUGGAUCAUUUUGAGUCAGUUAUCCAAUCUUUUAAAAUUUUGAUUUUACUAUCAAAUCUAUUAAUUUAUUUAUUUUGAGUGAGUCAACGACACUUUGGCUUCAAAAUUUAAGUUAAUCGGUUACUUUAAUAAAUUUAUAGUUGCAAGAAUUACAUGAAGUAUAUUGACUAAACCUGAAAAGAUAAACGAUGCAUUCCAAUUUUGAAGUUAAAACACCGUUGACUUAUUCAAAUCAAAUAAAUUGAUAAAUUAACUACUAAAAUCAAAAUUUUUAAAGAAUAGAUAGUCAACUCAAAAUGGUUUAUAGUUGGAAUAAAUUAUGCAUGUUUCACCUUAUCUUAACUCAAUUGUAGAAAUAUCAUAGUGUGGAAUGUAUAACUAUUCUUUUGGAUUUGCAAAAACCAUUUAUUGUGUGAUUGCAUGUAUUCUAUUUGCAUGCUGAAAAAAAAGUAUAUUUGAUCAGGCAAUCAACUGAUCAAAAGUCAGAUCCUUCAAUUGAUCCUUUCAGUUCUAUCCGUAAGAUCGGUUUAUUUUUUCAAAAAAAAGCUAGCAUGUUACCGUUUUCGUUUAUUUUUUUUAAAAAAAAAUUAGCUUCAAAUGUAAAGCAACUAGAUUUUUGAAUUUGAAACCUCAGAUAUCAACUACCAUACCUUUUAGUCGUUUGCUACUUGUGUUAGGGACAGUUGGUUAGUAUGAUUGGUUUAUGAUUUUUUUGUUGUGAGAGUUUGUCGAUCACUUUCGGGCCGUUGACUAAUUCACAGUCAAAGUUAAUUGGUUUUUUUCCUGAAACAAAGCCCUCUUUGGUUAGCUAUUCCUGUAUCAAUAAUUUGAACAAAUUAGUCUUUAAAAAAAAAGAAAAAAAAAAAACCAACUAAUCUGAACAUUUUGCUGAUUUGAACCUCACUAUUAACAAAGGACUCAGGCUUCUUUACUUAGUUGCUGUUUGGUUUCUAGAAAAAGCAUGGAAAAAAAAAAUUUGUGAAAAAGAUGUUUUUCAUGAAAAACUUCUUUUCUAAUUUUUUGUUGGCCCAUUGGUUCUAAGAAAAACUAGUUUUUUUAUAAAUUUUUUUCUUGAUUUUACCAAAAAAUUAUUGUUUUCGUUUGCUAAUUUUUGUUUAAAAAAAACGAAAACAAUAGUUUUCCAUGAAAUAUGAAAAAUGUUUUGGUUGUUUCCAUUAUAUAAGCCUAAUUCAUUUUCCUAAUGAAUAAAACGGAUAGCUCGUUAUCUAUUUCUCAAAAAAAAAAGAAAAACUCCUUUUUUUUUUAUGAGGAAUGCUUCAAUACACCGACUAAAUUAAAUCUAGCCGUUCAUAUUUCAAGGGCGAGAUUGACUUUUGCAUAGUGGUUACUUGCUGAACAGGUUACCAUUCGUAAGGAUAAUAUGAGAAAAUAAAUACAAACUAAUUACCAAAUUUGAUUAACCCUACAUAAAUAUUUGUUUCCUUAUUUAAUUUUGUUACUUACCAAAUUAGAUAGUGCUCAUUUGAUAAGUAAUAAAUCUUUAUAAAAUUAAAUUUAAAAAUCAAUUUGAGCUUAAACUUAUAAUUGUGUACAUUAAAUUCAAAUUUAAUUUUAAUUUUAAUUUUCAGAAUGAAAAAAAAUUAUGUUUAAAUAAAUAGUAUAUUUCAAUUCAAAUUGUUAAUUUGAUAUUAAAAUGACACGAAAUUUCAAAUAUAUUAGCUUUUAUUUUUUAUUUAAAUUAAAGGCUUCUAUUUUUAAAAUUAAAUUCAAAUUGUUCAUUCGAUAGUAAAAACAACAUUAAAGUUCAAAAAUAUUGAUUAAAAUUAAAUUUUAAAUUUAGAUUUAGUUUAUAUUAUAGUUAAAAAAAAUAAAUACAAGCUUUCAAAAUUGAAAUACAAGCUUCGGAGAAAUUUUGAUUAAAAUACAAGCUUCGGAGAAGAUGACUGUGGGUGAAAACUUUUCCAAAAUUGAAUGGGAUAUUUUAUAAUUAAUAGAGGGGCAUUAUGGAAAUGAAAAUAGAAAUUUACAAAACUGCACUUCAUGCUAAUUUUACAUAUGAGAAAAUAGUUUGCCCUUGGUAAGAGAGUGAUCAGUACCUAAGGCAAUAAAAGCCAGUCACCCUCUUAACUAAAAGACAUCUCCAUCAUUCAUUUAAAAAAAUUUAAGGGCCGAGAUCUUUUUGGUGCAUAGGAGCAUUGCUCUUUUUUUUAAUCAAAGAGAUCAAAGAGGUGGAAAACUAGAAAAAAUAUUUCAAAAUAUAUCAUGUAAUAUCGCAUUUGCAUACCACAAUGUCAUCAUAUUAAAAAAAAAAAAAAAGAAAAAAAAAAGCCAUAUUUAUGUAUGCUUUUGCCUCACUUCCAUUCGGUAAACCUUAAUACCAAACGACCUAACUCUAUAACAAGAGGCAAUUGAAAAUAUGACAAAUAAGUCUUUUUCUUUUUUCUUUUUUUUUUUUUGAGAGAGAGAUAGGUAGCGCGCUAUGUGCUUUGUUUUAUUUCAUUUAGAAAUAAACUUAGCUGGAAAUAUGAAUCAACUAGAAUUCGAAUUUGGGACCUAAGGUAUCAACCAUCAAGCCUUUUGCCACUUACUUUAGGGACGGUCGGUAAUACGACAAAUAAGUCAACAUGCAAUUUUAUUGACCCCAGUUCAUAUGUAGAAUUGAGCCCAGUACAGGCCUUAAACAAAGCCCAGAUUUUGAGCCUUACAAUUUUAUGUUUCUUCUUUCUCUUUUCUCAAAGCCUAAAUAAAUUUAGGGUAUCUAAAUUUUCAUGUAUACAUGCACCUAAGCAAAGUACAAUGAGAAAGUAGAAUAGCAAAAAUUCCAUAUCGCAAUGAGUCCAUUACAUUGUAUUUUCUACGAUCCCCAAUAAAAAAUUAGAAAGUAUACUUUUAUAUAUUUUUGUUCCAAUUCUGUAGUGUUUAUUAGCAUUAUAUAAGCCUUCAUACUAAACGGGCGCUUCGUCUGUUGGUCCGUUUAAUUUGAUCUUGGGUUUUAGUGACUGAAUUUGGAUUUUAGGCCUUUGUAGCUUUUCAGGCUUUUGCAUGUAGCUUGGUGGUAUUUCUUAAUUAGUUGCUUCUCCUAUAUAAUAUUUUUAAAGACUCUCACAACCCUUUUGUGAUCAUCAGCCACAAUAAAGAGUGGCUAGUUGCAUGUCCUCUUGUUUAUUUGUUAUUCAGUUGCGUUAUACCCAGUUAAAUAAAAUUUGUCUAUAUAUUAUGGGUGUUCUCUAUAAAAAAGACGUGAUCUAAAAGUUAGAGAAGUGGGAAAAUUCAUUCCGCUAGUAAAAAUCCAUUCAACCCAAAAGCUUAAGCCUGGUGGGCUAGACCCAUUAAUAAACAUCGAAUUUAUUAUUUUCGUGUUUAACAAGUGAAAUUCUAACAUUAAGGACCCUUAGAAUUAGGAUUGGAGUAAGCAAACUGAGUAGGACUAGGAGAGCACAAAACAAGCAAAUCUCUCCUUUUCUUUUCAUAAUGUUUCUUUAGUUGAUAUGGUGGCAAGCAUGUACAUGUAUCCACUUCUCUCCGUAUUAUGGAAGUUUUUACAGCACCAAACUAAUUUUCAACGAUAGAACAUUAGAAACGUCUAUCCAUACUAUUGAACAUUAUCUUAAAUAGUUGUAAUUUAAUUGAACCCAUAAAAUGGAACAAGUUUUUGUCAAAGGUAUUCUAACUUUACUUCUUCUAUAUAUAAAAUGAUAAAUGUCGUACGCUAGCGGUCAAAAUUUAUAUUUGGAAUAGUUUGAAAAUAAAGUAGAAAAAUACUAAAACAUUAGGAAGUUCACUGUCUAAAGAAUUCAAAUAUUGCAGAUUAUAUCUAACAAUACUGAUUAUCAUUUAAAUACUCUAUUAUUCGAAAUAAAGUUAUUAAGCAAACGUCUUGAUAUAAUUAAUUAAUUAAUAAUGCAGAAUCUUUCUUUUUUUGAGAAAAAAGUUAGACUCGAUAUUUGGUUCAUUCAUAAUAAAUAUAAACUGAGCUUCAAAAAGUGGGGCAACUGGCCACGAAAAUCAAAAACAUUCCGAACAAGAGCACGCAAGAAAGAAAGUUAGUUUAUAAUGUUAGAAUUGGUUAAAUUUGUAGUUGAAAAUCCGAUUUGACGUUUUCGUUGCGGAAUCCCAACAAUCGAUACCGAAUCCACAGCAGUCGGUAUCGGAGCGGGUUGCAGAUUCACGAGAUCCGGUACCGAGGCGAGUACCGGAUUCCCAACAUAUAAUACAGAAUCCAACCUAUGUAAUUUAUAUAUGUGUUAGUUCACCACUCAUGUAGGUCUCUGACAUCUAACAAAAGUUAAUGAUGAUUCCCUGAUCAUCAUUUACUUUCCUUCCCCCAAUUGAUGACACCACAACACUCCCAUGAUUUGAUAAGAAAUUUUCCCCUCCCUCCAAAGUGAUAUGUAUCUCUUUUUUAAAUAAAAAAAAUUAAAGUUGAAUAUUUUAAUACAAAAAAAGGCACCCAACUAGCCAAAUCAUAUUGGCACUUCACAAAGAUAAGCAACUUUUUUGAUGCCUAGCAUUGAAAAGUAGAUGAAGCCACUAAAAUGUGUCUUUCCUUAGCUUAGUUGACAUCUCCAAAAUAUAUAAAUUUAUAUACCACUUCUUAUCCCUCCAACUUAAUCUUCUCCCCUUUUUAUAAUAGAUGAUGAGAAGGAAAGCAAAGAGAAUUAAUCUACUAAGGUAAAAAUGUGCAGAGACCCCUCGCCUAUCAGCCAUUCUGAAAUAACCCUCUGAAUUUUAAUCGCUUUUUCUAUCGGUGAGCUUUUUCAGUUAGUUAAACUAUCAGUAGUUAAUUGUUUUAGUUUAUUUACUGAAAAAUGAAUCAAAACUAUUACUUUUGAUGUGAACUCGAUAAAAUUUACUCAAGAGCGAAAGAUCAAAAUUUAUAGUUGAAGGGGUCUUCAUGCAUUUUUACCAUCUACAAAUUGAUGGAUACUUGUGGCCACUAAUUAAUAAUACUUACUAUGGUGGGCAAUGACCACUUAAGAUAUUGUUAAAUUAAACCAAAUGGAUAAGAUACUGUUAAUUAAAUUAAACCAAUUAGAUCUUUCAAAGUUAGUGCUCCAAAGUUUAUGCUCAACACAAAAAAGAAAAUAAAAUAAAAAUAAAGUUAGUGCUCAAUGGAGUGCUCCUUUCAGCAGUAAAUGCCAUCCUAUCUACCACUUGCUGCAACAGAGUUGCAAGUAGUGAUGUUAAAUUUGUGGCCACUCACAAAACCCUGUGACAUAGAAAAUCACUUCUAGAUCUUUUUUCUCAUCCAUGUUUCCUUUUUGUUAUAACAUAUAAUAUUGAAAGUGGAAGGAAUUAGCUUAAAUCAUUAUACCAAAGAAUUUUUUUUCUCAAAAAAAAAUGAUUACUUUAAUAAUUUUUCUUGCAAUUUGGACAGUAUAUAUCUCAAUUACUUGUUUUACUUCUCUUUGUUUACUUUAAUUUUUCACUAUGCACUUUGCACAGUGUCUUCUUAAAUAAUACGAAAAAAUCGUUAUUUCUCUAAAAACUUAAGCCGAUAAAGAACGAAGUUUAAAUAUUUUUAUAUUUAACACUUUUCUCACAUCUGGACUCAAGACUUUUUACUAGGACUAUGACGUGGAUUUGAAUUAAAUGAAAGAUAAAAUUAAUAAUGAUAGUACCUCCUCAUCUGAUACCAUAUUAAAUAACACAAAACAAUCGUUAUUUUCUAAAUGCUUAAGCAAAUAGAAAAUAGCGUUUAAUUUUUUUUAUAUUUAAUACCAAUUAUAUAUCAUCUUGUAUUUUUUUUUGCUUUAGUUCUCAUCAUGUAUUUUUCAUAUUCUCAAAAAAGAGUUUUCUAAACCAUAAGAUGGCAAACUAAUUAAAGUAUUUUAUUAUUGUGUAAUCUGCAAUUUAUAAGCAAAAUUUAUUGUCUUGUUCAAUAGCAAGUUUUUACAGAAAACAAAAUUAAAGUCAUAUAUAUCAUAGUAAAGAAAUAAGCUUGAAUCACGAAAUAGUAAAUAAAUUGCACUUAUUUCUGUUUUUGAGCUUGCGCAUACAUUCUAGAACGGAGAAAAACUUGAGUAGGGAUCUCCUUAAUGACGCCUCGCUGUAUGUAUUACUUUUUAUCUCAAUCCAAGAGUUAUAAUUUUUAUUUUUAGGAUUAAAAAUUAUUCGACAAAUUUUGAAUGAAGACAAAACUGAUAUGUGACAGCGAAUCAAGGGCUUCCCAAUAAAGCAUAAUUGAAGAGCUCUUUAUUCAAGUUUUAUUCUUCGAGAACCCAAUAACCUCUUCAGAUAUAUCAACUAGUUUUUUUUAACCCGAAAAUCCAUCGAUCAACUCUCUUUAAACUCCCAACCUCUAAGUUGGUGUUUGAAAUAACUAUUAAAAUAAAUUCUGAGCCAUUUUCUACUAAUCAGAUCAAUCUUUUGAAUAAUAUAGUAUCAGAACGGAUUCUAAGCCCCCUCCGUUUCAAGAAGUGCAUUAUCUCUUAAUUUAGUCAGUCUCCGCAAAAUAAUUCAUCUGAUAUCGAUCAUGCGCGCGGUGGAUGCUUAGUGAUGAAUAAAGUGUUUUUAAAGUGGAUCCGUGCCUAACUCCAUUAAAAACGUACGUGACCUCUUAUCCCUUUUUAGUUUUUAUUUCACGCCACCAUGCAAAUUCCACUUGACAUGUCAUGGAUGUUACAUAGUUGACCAACGGAAAAAGGGCGCGAAAGUCUCGCAUUGGUUGGUCGCAUGCGACGCUUUUUUCAUGAUAAUUUAUUACUCAACGGUGAAAGGCGAAGAGUAAAGCAAAAGCUUAAAAAAAAAAACAAAACAAAACAAAAAAAAACAAAAGUACCCUCACGGGGUCGGCACAAAGUUGGCUACAUUAUUCAUGCUUUAAUAACUGUGCAGCAUUUAUUUAUUUUUUAUAUUUCUUUAAUUAUAUCUCUAAUAAGAGUAUUAGCCUAUUAGGGGAAAAAAAUAUUAGUGAUCAAGUGAUUUUGAAUGUUGAGAAAUUCGACCAUGACUAAAAGUUGGAUAUUUCGAAGAUGAACUCGGCCUCAUCUCUGUAAUUUUGUGUUUGAUGAGAGUCAACCGGUGAAGAAAAUGAAUACUACUAGUUUCGGAGCAUAGUCAUUCUGCAAUUCGGUGUACGUACAACAGAUGAUUAACUGCUGAUCAGCAACGGAAUCAACACCAUGAUCCUCUAGGGUUAAGUGGGUGGUUGGUUAAGUAAAACGAUCUAACAGUUAGAAAUAAUAAAAGGGAUAAAUCUAACAGCAGAAAGGUCGGUAGCGUCAAGCGCUUGGUGCUAUCGAUAGUAUUCCAAUUGGACUCUAUAUAUGAAUUUGGCUGAAAUACUAUUAAUAAUACUAAGUCGUUGAUACUACUAAAUUUUCGACCACUGGAUAAUAAAAUGUGUAGUUAGGAUGAAAGUGGUCCCUUCAGGUCGAGUGGAUGGUUGGUUGAAUAAUACAAUUUAAGGGCUAGAAAUGAUGAAAUGGAUAAAUCUAACAGUAGAAAAUUCAAUAGCACCAAACGCUUAGUGUUAUCGAUAGUAUUCCAGCCGGACUCUAUAUAUAUAUCUUUAUUUGGGAUAAAUUUAUACUAACACUAAAUUGUACUGUUCACAACUUGUAUAUUUAGAGAAUGUAAAAAUAUAUAAGGAAGAAAAUCAAGAAAAAAAAAGUCACAUAUUCUACAAUUUUGUAUUGAAAUUUCAUAGGACAAUGAACUAAAAAUGCCAAGUAUUGACACACCCUUUUUUUUUCUUUUUUCUUUUUUUUUUAACGAUUGCUUGAUGUUUACAACACCAAUGCAUGCGUACACUCUUCAACUUUCCUACAUUUAAUUUAAUUUACUGGAGAAAGUUUUGACUCUAGCUGUGUGUCACAUUCCCAAUAAUUUAUCCAGCAUUAAAAAACUAUUUAUAUUAAUAAAGAAAUAAUCAAACAGAUAUUAAAAUUGUUAAUUUGCAUGUAUAAGAAGGAUAUAUAUAUAUCUAAGUUAAAUCUAAGUUUGUUCGCACUAUCAAGUUAAUAAAACACCGGUCCAGUUAGAUUAUGUAUAUAUUUUCUUGCUAUGUGGUUACGAGAAGAUCGGAUUACCUCGCAAAAAGUUUAAAAUCACAAAAAAUAAGAUAUAAAUCGAAUUACAAACUCGAACAAGUCGAAGGUGCAUGAGAGUGAUUAAUAGAGAAAAUUUGACCGAUACAUAAUUAACUUUGAAAAUCUAUAGAUCGAGUUUCCAACUUUCCAUUCAUAGGAAAUAGAAAUCUUAGCUAGUGACAAAAAAUUUGAUGACUAUAUUUAAAAUUUUAAAUUCGAAGUAUAACGACUUUACAUUUUAAACUAAAUUUAUUUCUAAAAAAAUAAACGAAGUGAGUAGCAUGCUACAUUUCUCUCAAAAAAACAUAAAAGUAUCACUAUUUUUACCCUAUUUUUUAUCAGAUUUUUUUGAAACAAUCCCUCUAUAGAUUUAACAAGUAAUAGAUCGUUUCUGAUUAUUGGACUUAGAGUUUGAUUGGGUCGUUUACGAUAAGCUUGACCUAAACCUGCCCUCUUCCAUCUGUGCUAGAGACGAUCAGUAAAAAUAUAUAUAUAUAUAUAUAUUAUAGUAUUACUAUGGAUGCAUGAAAAAAUUACUUAAAAACUUUGGUACGUGUUCUGCAAAAACACUUGUAAAGAGCAACCAAAACCAUUUUUUUAGCUUGUUGCAAAACAACGGUGACACAUUACCAUAGUCCUAUGUGCAGGAUUUUUUGAAGCACAAAAAUGUCUUGUACAAGGCGAUUUCACUGUCCAUUUAAUGAAGCGUCAUCCAAAACAUCGAAUCUGUUAUUAGAUAUAGCAACAUACAUUCAUCUGAAUGGAACUUGUCAAUUUUUUAAGUGAACUCACUGUUCAUUACCUUCCAUUUUGGGCAAAAGAAACCCACCACUAAAUUGUACCCUCUCUCCCUCUCCCUCCCUCUUUCUCACAUCAUCCAUGAUCCCACCCCCAUUAUGAUUCAUGAACACAACAACAACAACAACAGAGGAACAAGAACCAAUUUCAGAUCCCAUCCAAGAACCCAAACACAAACACACCCCCUAAGAAGCCGAAAACGCGACACGUCACCUAAAAUGGGAUGCCGUGUCCAAUUAUAUACAGAAAAUUUCUAUGCACAAAGCACUUGAUUAAUAUAUACUCUCCAAAAUACUAUUUUAAUUUAGGGGCAAUUGCCUAUAUAUUUCUACAAAGCUUUUGAUUUUUUAAUUUAUCCUUUUUAAAAGAUUAAUAUUAAAAAUAUUUUUUUUUACGCUUCAACCUAUUUUAAAUGUAUUUUUAAAGUUAAGUUCUGUUAAUGAACUGUUAGUAAUAACUAUUAUCUUUAUAAAAUUAUUAUUUUGCUCUUUCAAUUAUACCCUUCUACUAUUACCGACUUUUAUUUUUUAUUCUUAAUUUAGGGACACAAAAAAUAUUUUGAUUCUUUGUCUUUUCAAAUAUACUCUUUUACCAUCACUAGCAUUCCUUAUUUGUCCUUAAGUUUCGGGCAAAAGAAAUAUUUUAAAUUUUUUUUUUUUUAACUCUGGUAGAUAUUUAACUCACGUUUAACCCAAAUUAACUUAACGGAUAGUAAUUAUAAAGAUAUUUUGAAAUAACUGAGGAACAUAUAUUUUUAAAAUUUUAACGAUUCCUGAUAUGCUACUGUGCACCAUAUAAACACAUCGAUAUCAUUACAGGAGACUUUUUUAGACAAAUUUAAAGCAUAUUUUUGGGAUCUUCUAAAAUACUAUUUUUGUAAUUAAAAAAAGUGCAUUUCCCCUCUCCACAUCUCUAUCAUCCCAACUAUCCCCCACACAAAAAGAGUCAAACCCAACUUGGUGGCGUUGCAAUCCGUUUCUAUUCACCUACUCCCCCCUCCCCCAAUAUUUCCUACUCGUCAUAAAACCUCUCCUAUCCACCCCCGAAUAAGACCAAUUCCUGCUCUUAUUCCCCCCACUUCUUUUGUCCUAUUUAUUCCACUAAAAGGUGAAAUUGAAGUACAAGGUGAAAUUCAAAUUAAAAUAGAUAUAUUCACAAAGAAUUAGGGCUCAAGUAAAAAGUUAAAUUUUUUUUUUGUUAUUAGUUUGUAUAUAUGUAGAACUGUUGUUUAUUUGGUAUGGAUGUAAUUAAAAGCUGAAAUUGUAAAAGAUAAGCUAAUACUUAUUAUUAUUAGUAUUAUUAUUAUUAGGCUAAAUUACAUAAAACUCUCUUAGAAAUAUUUGUUUUUUUCAAUUUCUUUCUAUAACUUUCAAAGAUUUGUAUUUUAUCCUGUCAACAUUUCAAGUUAUUACAUUUAGAUCCUUCCGGUCCAAGAUUUUAAGUGUCCGUCGGCACGGACCGUAUCCAUCGUGUCGUAUCGUACCAACAAGAUACCGGCACGAUACAAACCCUGUGUCGAUGAUACAACUCAAAAUCCUCUAUUCUUUAAAUUAGUAAAUAAUUUCCUCAAUAAAGUUUAAAAGAUGUGAUAAAAAGACAUAAUAAAUAGUUAGAAUAUUUUGUUGCUAAAGAAAAUAAAUAUUUCAUGCUAUUAUGUGUCGGCACACAAGAAUUUCUUUUACCGACACGCAUCGGCACGGCUCGGCACGCACCGUGACGUACCAUGCCGAUAAGUUUCCGGCACGACCACGUGCCACGGCACUUAAAUCCUUGUUCCGGUCAGCAUUCUAUUACUACUCCACCCAUUCCUUAUAAUUUAUAACAAAAUACCUUUCAAAAUAAUAAAAAUAUAUUAAAAAAAUUUUAUAUAGAAAAAGUAAGAAUAAUUUGGUUAUUUUUUGCCAUCUCCAUUAACGUCGUACAUUUCGAAAAUAUUUUUAAAACUUUAAGAGAAUAAAAUAUCGAUUUUUAAAAGUCGGAGAGAUAUAAAAGGUGAAAAAAUAAAUAUUUACAGAAAGACAUUUUAUAAUUUAGCCUUAUUAUUUUAGGUGGAACAUCUAAAAUUUUUCUUGUAUACAUUAAUUUAACGAAAAAUUAACGAAGACAUUGGAAAUAAAAAGAAAAAAAGAACUACGUGACACUAAAUGCCUUUAAACCGCACCGGUUGUUUACAGUGUGCGGUCGCUCUGGGUCGGCCUCUCACCACACAAAGCGGCGAUGCACGUGUCGCCGCUUUUGACCGUUGACUUCAACCGGCAGUUCCCGGUCGCCAUCACGGCCUGCCGAUCAGGAGCGUCCAUUUUCAAGCUUUUUCUACCGCAUUUUGACUUUAAUCAGAAGAUUUGGUCUAGUCCAUGACCUUAUAUAUCUUUGUGUACCGCAAAAUAAGACACCUUUUUAUGAUAAUAUAAUUGGUAUGAAAUUUUUCUCUUUUUUUUUGGCAUUAUUAGAUUAAAGACUGAUUUUUUAUUUUUAUUUUUACCAUCAACAUCGCUGUUAAAUUUUUCACUUGUUGAUUACUUAUCUAUGAUCGAAAUGAUUUGAUAUGAAAAUAGCUAGUUUUGUUUAGUUUAAAGAAAUUUAAAAUGACAGUCGAUAAGAAUACUAAUUUUUAUUAUAACGUGGAUAAUUCAGAACAACACGACAUGUAAUUAGUAGGUAUGAGUUUGUAGAUGAAUUCGAAUUUAUUCUCAACAAUUUAUUGAUUUUUACCGACCGUCCCUAGAGCAAGUGGCAAAGGGCUUGGUGGUUGGUACCCGAGGUCCCAAGUUCGAAUCCUAGUUGAUUCACAUUUUCAGCUAAAUUUAUUUCUAAAUGAAAUAAACGAAGCGGGUAGCGUGCUACCUAUCUCUCAAAAAAAACAAUUUAUUGAUUUUCAAAUGUAAUAAUAUAAUUCAAUUUAUAUUAUGUUAUAUAAAUAAAAAUAUUUAUUUAGCAAUGCUAUGUAUAUACACAUAUGUUGGUUAUAAACUAAAUUUUUUUAAGAAAAUAAGCAUUAUUUUAUGGACCUGUAAAAUUUAGAUGAUGAGGUAGCUUGAUCCUACAUUUAAUAAAGUCCAGUUUGAACAGAAUUAUAAAACAUAUACUUUAUGCACACAAAAAUCUUUAAGUAUGAAAUGUUAUUGUUUGUUCUUCAUUAACUAAAUGCAUUUUAAUUAUUCUAACUUAUUCAAUAUAAAUAUCGUGGCUUCUAACGACAAGAUCAGUAAAGACUAGCGAGACAAGUCUCACAUCGUUUGAUACUUAUGAGUGUUAGCUUGAUGAGAACGUUAGGGCUUAAAAAGAAAAAAAAUAUGAGAUCCCAGAUAGUCUUCUAUAUAGAGUUAAAACUCUUAAUCCGGUUAUACCAUUUUGGGCGGUGACUAGAUCCAAAAGAUUAAAAGAAUUAAGCUUGAUAAGACUAAAAUAAUCCAAAAAUAGAUGAUUUUCUAAAAAGUGGGACGUCAUAUUUGGUAUCAGAACCAAUUACUAGCUAAAAAUAAAAGAUGAGUCUUAAUUGAGCCAAAAUUAUACAACAGAAAAAGCGAGACUUUAUUAUUGAUGACUGUGUUUUACUAAUGAUGAAAAAUGAAAUUUUUUUUGUCAGCAGAAAAUUUUUACGUACAGAAUUGAGAGAAGGUAACCGGCAAUAGCCGGUGGCUAGAGUCCCCCCUCUCUCUCUCUCUCUCCUUUUCCUCUGUCUCUCUCAUCCUCAACCGCCAAAUGUGCCUCCUUUCUCUCUCUUUUUUUAUUUUUUAUUUUUUAUUUUUUAUUUUUUGUGGGUCGACCCACAAUGCUCCAACAGGCUACAAAAAUUCAACCCACCAACACUAAAAUAAUGGGAUUAUAUUUCAACUAUGAAUUAAAUGCGCAUCAAAAUUGCAAUGUGGCCGUUGUUUUCUACGUCUAAUUAAAUACAAAAUUAUUAUUAUUAUUAUGAGCUGAAGCAUCUAAUUAAGAACAUCGAAGUAACACACACAGGAGUCAACACCAAUCUCUCUCUCUCUCCCUCUAAAGCUCUCUCUCUCUCUUUCUCUGUGUUCCCCAGUUUGGAUUCUAUGCUUGUUUUGAUGAAUUAAGCUUCAAAAAUCUUCUAUAAAAAGCGAAAAUUCUCUUGAAAUUUUUUAAUGGGUGUCUCCAAUUUUUCGCUUCUGAGCAUAAAAGGAGUCUCCUUUACACUUCUCUUAGCUCAAAUUUUGGUUCUUAAUCUCUCCGUGUUGCCCAAUUUCGGUUCUAUGCUUGUUUUGAUGAAUUGAAACCUACUAAAUCUUCUAUAAACAGCGAAUUCUCUUGAAAUUUUCAAAUGGGUGUCUCCAAUUUUCGCUUCUGAGCACAAAAGGAGUCUCCUUUACACUUCUUUUGCCUCAAUUUCAGGCUCUUAAGCUCCCUCUCUGUUGCCGCAUAUGGGUUCUGUGCUUGUUUCGAUGAAUUGAAUCCCAAAAAUCUUCCUCAAACAGCGAAGUUCUCCAGAAAUUUUCAAAUGGGUGGCUCCAAUUGCAGCUUCUGAGCAAAAAAGGAGUCGCUUUUACACAUCUUAGCUCAGUUUCUGGUUCUGGGAAUCACUAGAUAUGGGUAACAGGGGAGAUCCGUCGAAGCUCCUCUUCAUGCGCACAUGGCGUUUGGUUUUAUGCCUCCUCUUCUUCUACACUGCGCCCACCAAUUCCCAGGGCCAGGAGAGCUUCUGCAGCUCCUCUGAUUUGGAUGCUUUAAGGGGCUUCUCGGAAGGCCUUAAUUCUAACAUCAAAGAUUGGGGCCUCAAUUCGUCGGCGGCGGCGACGGUGGAUUGCUGCACCUGGACUGGUGUCUCCUGCGACGAUUCCUUGACGGGGUUUUCCGGCGGGCGGCGAGUGAUUGGAUUGGAUCUCCAAUCCAUGAAGCUCAAAGGGUCGAUUUCCGAUUCAUUGGCCGGAUUGGAUCAUCUGAAAUGGCUCAAUCUUUCCUUCAACUAUCUCCGUGGCACCGUUCCAAUCCAACUGUUUCACCUUCCCCAGUUGGAGCGCCUUGAUCUGAGCAGUAAUGAGCUCUCCGGCCCGACACCGAUGAACAUAUCGCUUCCGUCGAUUCGCGCUUUCAAUAUAUCUUAUAAUUUGUUCAACGGAACCCACCCCGUCCUUACCGGAUCUACCGGUCUUCUCGUGUUUGAUGUUAGCUUCAAUUUGUUCGUCGGUCAGAUCGAUACGAGCAUCUGCAAUUCGCCUACCAAGAUUCAAGUCCUCCGGUUCUCGAUGAAUAUGUUCUCGGGCGAUUUCCCGGUUGGUUUUGGCAAUUGCGGUUCUCUUGAGGAGCUCGCCGUCGAUUUGAAUGGGAUUUCCGGGAACUUACCUGAUGAUUUGUUCAAGUUGUCAUCUUUGAAGCUGUUAUAUCUCCAGGAGAACCAGCUAUCAGGGAGGAUGAGCACAAGAUUCAGUAAUCUCUCUAACCUUUCGCAAUUGGAUAUUUCCUUUAAUUCGUUCUCGGGCAACAUCCCGAACAUUUUCGGUAGUCUUAAAAAGCUCGAAUACUUUUCCGCUCAAUCUAACAGUUUCAGGGGCUCUUUGCCCUCUUCCUUAUCGAAUUUGGCCUCGCUUAGAGUGCUUUACCUGAGGAACAAUUCGCUGAGCGGCGAGAUCAGUCUCAAUUGCUCGGCGAUGACUCAUUUGAGCUCACUCGAUCUCGGCACGAACUUUUUCACGGGUCCGAUUGAUAAUCUCUCUAAUUGUCUAGAGUUGAGGAGCUUAAAUCUCGCCAGGAACAAUCUUCGCGGUGAAAUCCCUCCAAGUUUCAAGAACCUCGAUUCGCUGUCCUACAUCUCCCUUUCGAAUAACAGCUUCUCUAACUUAUCUUUGGCUUUGCGAGUUUUACAAGACUGCCCUAGCCUUACUAGUCUUGUCCUCACAAGGAAUUUUCUUGAUGGCGAUCAGACUGCGCCGAUGAUUGGGAUUCACGGAUUUCGAAACAUAGAGGUUCUUGUCAUCGCAAAUUGUCAUCUUUCGGGCUCGAUACCGCAAUGGUUGAUUAAUUGUACGAAAUUGAAAGUUCUUGAUUUAUCUUGGAACCAAUUGGACGGGGCCAUUCCUUCGUGGAUUGGAAGCUUCGAGCGCCUCUUUUAUUUCGAUCUAUCUAAUAACUCGUUGACCGGAGAGAUCCCGAUAAGCUUUUCGACGAUGAAGGGCCUUGUUACUCGCAAUACCACUCAACCACCGAGUGAAAACGAGGAUUUCCCUUUCUUCAUCAAACGGAAUAAUAGCGGGAGAGGUUUGCAAUACAAUCAAUUUAGCAGCUUCCCGCCCUCUAUGAUUCUCUGCCAUAAUAUGCUCAUUGGGCCGAUUUCGCCAGGUUUUGGGAAUCUCAAGAAUCUCCAUGUUUUAGACCUAAGCUGGAACAGGUUUUCGGGGAUUAUACCGGAGGAAUUGUCGGGCAUGUCGGGCUUAGAGACUUUGGAUUUGUCGCACAAUAUUCUUAGCGGAAGCAUACCUUCCUCGUUGACGAAGCUCAACUUCCUUUCAAGUUUCAGUGUGGCGUAUAAUAAUUUAUCCGGGCCAAUUCCAACAGGAGGCCAGUUCUCAACCUUCUCGUACUCCGACUUCGAGGGAAACGCUCGUCUAUGUGACUUCCACUUCGCUUCAUGUCCCUCCAGGGUUUCCGUACAAACCGUAGCCCAAAGGACAAAGAACAAAGGCGCCGUUAUAGGUAUCUCUCUCAGCAUUGGACUCGGAACAGCUUUUAUUCUUGUUUUUAUCUACUUAUUUGUCGCGAGGGCUAAUGCGAGAAGGCAGGAACAUGCUACAAAAUCUGUUUCUGAUUCCAACGGAAACUUCGAAUUGGCCCCUUCCACAUUGGUGUUUCUGUUUCAGAAUACCGAGAACAAAGAGCUAACCAUCAAUGACAUAUUGAAAGCCACGAAUAACUUCGACCAAGCAAAUAUUAUUGGGUGCGGGGGCUUCGGCUUAGUUUAUAAAGCAAUUCUACCAGAUGGGGCAAAACUCGCAAUUAAGCGGCUUUCUGGCGACUAUGGGCAAAUGGAGAGAGAAUUCAAAGCCGAGGUAGAGACCCUCUCGAGAGCUCAGCACACUAAUCUUGUUCUUCUUCAAGGAUAUUGUAGAAUCGCGAGCGAUCGGCUCUUGAUCUAUACGUUCAUGGAGAAUGGUAGCUUGGACUAUUGGCUUCACGAAAAGCCCGACGGCAGAACUACACUGAAUUGGGAAAGAAGACUCAACAUCGCGCAAGGAGCGGCAAAGGGAUUGGCGUACUUGCACCUAUCGUGUCAGCCGCAUAUAUUACACCGUGAUAUUAAGUCGAGCAAUAUACUUCUCAAUGAGAACUUUGAGGCUCAUUUGGCUGAUUUUGGGCUCGCUAGGCUUAUUCUGCCUUAUGAUACGCACGUGACUACCGACUUGGUGGGGACUUUGGGGUACAUUCCUCCCGAGUACGGCCACUCGUCGGUCGCCACUUUUAGAGGCGACGUGUAUAGUUUUGGUGUUGUUCUCUUGGAGCUGCUUACGGGGAAGAGGCCGGUGGAUAUGUGUAAACCUAAAGGAGGAAGGGAGUUAAUAUCGUGGGUUCUUCAGAUGAAGAAAGAGAAUCGUGUGGCCGAGGUGUUUGAUCCUUUGAUAUAUGAAAAGAAGCAUACUAACCAGCUUAUGCAGAUGCUUGAGAUUGCUUGUAUUUGCUUGAGCGACAACCCUAAGAUGAGGCCAUUAACCCAUCAACUAGUUACAUGGCUCGAUAACAUUAGUCUUGGUAGCAAAAAGCCAUCAUAAAACGAGGAACAAAUAAGUUACAAUUCGGUGAUGCUGAAGAUAUUUGGCGGUUUACCUUACUGUUAACUCUGUUUUCUUCAAUGUGCAGAUGCCAGGUGUAUAUAAUAAUCCUUUCGUCGUCAAUUCGUUCUAUACAUAACGACGCAACUAUAUGAGAGGAUGCACCGCACACAUGUUAAUCUGUAAGUUAUGUUUGCUGAAUAAAAGAGUUAAUUUUAUCCGCUGUAUAGAAGAUCCGGAUAGUUCUUUUCGUUCUGCUUUCGUAGCAGAACUUUGAAUUUGAUGUAAGAACAGAACAUGCAUAUACAGCUACAGAAAUUGAGAUACUGCUCAUCAACAAUUUCGCUGAUAUUUUUGUAAGUUUGAUGUAAAAAUGUACAAACAUUAAACAUUUAUAGAUCUGGAGUUAACUGUAUAACAUACUAUCUUCUGAAUCCAUGAGGAGUGUUGAUUAUGGUGGUUUUGUAUAGUUCCUGGUUAUUAACUCUUUCAGUUUAUGUCUUGCUAGAAGAGUAUCUUAAGUCCAUAAAAUGCACUUAUGUGAUCUUUACAUCAGCGACGGAGGCAAAGAAUUGUGAAAAGAAACGAAAAAAAAAAAAAAAAAAAAAAAAAGCAAACAUUCUCUUGCUUGUGAAAUUUACAUUUUUCUGACUACUCCAUACUUGUUCUUGUUGGUUACUUGCAAUGCAUCAUGAUUAGAUGCACGGCGACAUCUUAUGUACUAAAAAAAGGAGCCAAGUGUGGACUGCAGAAGUUACAAUCUGUCGACUCAUUCGAUCACACAAAAUUUGAGUAAGAAGCCAAAAAUCAACAUUGAAUUCGCAUACACCAUUUUGCUGCAAAAAUUUGCUUUAUAAUGAGAACUCCUCAUUAACAAUUGUCGAUUUGAAACGCCAAAUGCAUAUGAUCUCUUUACAUGACUGUAAGAUUCCUAUAAAGGGUGAUAUUACUAAAUAACAAAUGAACAUCCAAGUAUUCAUACUAGUCUCAGAAUAAUUCAACAAGAUAUGCUGCUGCUUACGUAUCAAGCAUAGCAUUCGACGUCAUCUUCGAUCUCGUGCACAGCUUGGAGAGGGCCACCUCCAGAAAAAGACCCAGAUUCACAUAUGUUCACAGGACCAUUGCCAAAAAGGCGUACUUGCGGUUCAAUUUGAUUCAUCCUAUUCCAUUCGUCAUCAGAUAGAGACCAAUCAAAGAUAUUUAUGUUCUUCUUUAUCCUCUCAGGGUUUAGGCUACACGGUAGGACGCUCGUUCCUCGCUGCAGUCCCCAUCUCAGAAUAACCUGUCACCGACAAUACAAAUGCCAUCACAAAAAAGGCGAAUAAGUUUGCCAAAUUCGAGUAGUAUUUGAGUACUAUACCUAAAAAAAAGUGACAAUCUAUAAGGUAUAUUCGAUAUAACGUCUAGUAUAGUAAAAACUUAAUUGAAUGAUUGCAUACACAAACAUCAAUUUACAUAGAUAUUUAAACAAGUAAACAGGGUAGAUAAUGCACAUCAAUUUACACAUUGGAAAAAGUGUUAUACACUGCUUGUAUUGCAUGUGAGUCUUCAAGCUUUAUGAAUUUUCACACAAAGCAAACGCCUACAUCAGCUUGAGUAUAAAAUGGCUUCUAUAUGCCGCGAGAAUUUGAAUUUGUCUCCUCAGGUUCACAAAUUUUUUACGACAAAAAGUUAAAUACAAGCUAAACAAUCUCAAAAACUAAGUUAAUGAAAGGGAAAAAGCAAACACACAUAUAGAGUCUAAAGUGGAAACUUUAGUCAUACUUUAGUAUUCUUGCUAGUGUUUCAUGCAUUUCAUAACCUACUGUUAUGAAAUCAAUCGAACCAAAAAAGUAUAAUUUGAAGCUGCGUAAGUUCGAUUGUUCAGAAAGAAUUUCCAAGAGAAGAGGAUAGCGAAAACGAACCUGUUCAGGUGUCUUAUUAUGGCGAUCUGCAAUUUCUGCAACAGCAGAAAGCUUCAACAUCGGGCCAUGCACCGAUCUCGACCUUCUAAACGAUAUUCUAGGGGUCCCGAGCUCGUCUUCUGACCCACUGUCAGAAAGGCCAGCACCACUUGUCAGCAUAUUCGAAGUUGCGGGCACUCCUAACGGAGUAUGCGCGGAGACAUGGAUACCUUUCUCUUGGCAGAACUUCACAAGCUCAUCUUGCCUCCAAAAGGGAUGCAACUCCACCUAAACAUAACAGUUUCAAGAAGAAAAUCGCACGGUAUGAAAAUUGGUUUAAUAGAAAAUUGACGCGAAUUGUAGUGACCGACUAAAAUUUGUGAAGUGCGAAUUAACUUCAUUCUAUGAUAUUACUAAAUUCACGUAAAUUUGCCAACAAACUAUCAUAUCAGGGUAUUUAACUUACAAGCAAAAAGUAAAUCAAACUAAAUGGUACAGGGAAAAGAAGUGUAUCUGUGAUUUCCGUAUCAAAUAUUUCUGCAGAUCAGAAAAGCCGACAGGAAGCACACCUGGUUGACUGCUGGAACUAUCUUGGCGAACCGAAGCAACUCAGAAAUCUGCUGAACAUUGAAAUUGCUGACACCGAUAGCGCGAACAAGACCAAUCUCAAGAAGACCCUCCAUAGCCUUCCAAGUCGGCUUCAACCUCUGCAAGAAUUGCUUGUAUGCGCUUCCCGAUUUCCAUGGCGGGUCGGUGGCAUCUUCGACGGCCGAACUCUCGGGCCAGUGCACAAGAUAAAGAUCCAAAUACGAAACGCCGAGGCUCUUCAAAGAGACUCUGACAGAAUUCUCGACCCUCUUGUGCGAAUUCGUGGCGCAGUACAACUUAGAGGUCAAGAACACCUCCUCCCUCUUGACUCCGUUAUCGAAAGCUGCCGCCAACGCCUUCCCGACUUCGACCUCAUUUCCAUACAGAUGCGCACAAUCUAUGUGGCGAUAUCCGACGUCUAAAGCCGUGGCGAUGGCUUCGAUACAGAUGUCUCCUCCACUCUGCCAUGUUCCGAGCCCUAUAGCCGGAAUCUUCGCGCCCGUGUUUAGAACAAAGUACUUUUUACUUGUGUCACUCUUUGGCCUCAUCCUACCAACCUAAACAAAGAACCACAAAAGCAAGGCCUGGUAAUCCGAAUAUGCUUGAACUCGGCACAAUGCAAUGGAUGGAUUAAGGCAUUAAUAGCUCCACAGGCCGCAACUAUUGAACUGGAAAGGACGAAAAGGCAUAGCAACAUUCUUCAAAUAAUGAUCGGAGUUUCUAUGAUGGGAAGCACGGCCCACAUAAACUGUGAUUCUAUACAACGUGAUUCAUAACUAGUAAAAUUCAUCUACAAAAAGAGGUAAAUAUGCUAAAUAUCAUAUGAAAAGCGCUAAAACAUUUAUAAAAAAAAAAAAAGCCAAAAUCAAAACCAAACCUUUUUCUUGAUCCCCUUAAAGAACUGCUGUGGGGGAAAGCAGAUGCAUCCCUCGCACCGAAAAAGCGAUUCUACAAGAAAUCCCCAAACACAGAAACGGAAACAAGGAGAGACGUGUUCAACACCAACUGCGGAUGUAGAAAAGAGUGUAACCCUAAUAAGAAAAAAUAAUAAUGCUGAAUAAAUCCACGGCCACGUAGCUAUCUAAUGUGCUCAAUAAAAGAAGAGAGAGAAAGAGAGCUCUCACUUUCUUCUUUUUUUCCUUUUUUUUUUUUUUUAAUAAGCCUACCUACCAGAGGACGACCUGAAAAUCCACCAACAACCUACCUCCCCUUAAAAUAAAGACUUCAUUUUCUUUCUUUCUUUUCUUUUUUUGAUAUUAUUAUAACACGGUCAAAAUAAUUUGACAUCGAAUGAAAAAAUAAUUUUAAUUAAAAUAUAUGAGGUCUGUAUCCUAAUAAUAAUAAUCAAAUUUAAGUGUUUUAGACUGAUGAUUUACACUCGCCGGAAGUGUGAGAACUAAGUAUUAUGCAGGACAAAGUGCUAUACCAACUGAUUUGAUGGAAACCACUUCUAGAAUUUUACGUUGUUUGAUAAUUUGUAGGAUUAUGCACUAGCGGGUCGGAUAGUUAUAAUUAUGCAAAAAAAAGAAGAAGAAAAGAAGGGCGAAAUAGUUUUGAACACUACAACUGAUACACUCCCACACGAGUAUAAAUUUUUACAUCUCUUCAUUUCAGAGUUCAUAUUGAACUUUUGUCUCAUCAAAAAAAUUUUAGCAGUAAGAAUUUUCUAAAUUUUUAGUAUGGAGGGAGUAGGAUCUACGCACUUUGAAAAAAGAGUAUAACACAUGAUAGUGACACCCCAUUAUCUAUAUAACUAAUCAAUCAAAUUUUACCAAUGAAUUCACCUAUUGAAUCCCACAAAUACAUUUAUUGUACAUUUCUCUCCAAAUGAGAGAUUUGCUUGGUUGAAAUAUGGAUGAUAUGGUGCUUCACUAGCAUUUUUUUUAAUAGUUACAAGAAUGGUUAAUGGUACACUUCAAAUGGAUAAAUCUUCUUAUACCCCCUCAGCCGCUUUUUUAAUCAAAUUUAUAGUAAAUUUUAAUUUGUCUCUAGCUAUUGUUUGGUUGGGGUUAAGGGGUGGAAUAACCUCUUAAGGUUAAGGGGUGGAAUAACCCUUAACCCCCAUUUUAUUCUCAAAUAUUUCUAAAAAUGGAUGGGAUUAGAUCCCAUCUCAAAUGGAUUAUUCCGGAUUAGCUAACCCCACCUAACCCGACCAAAUCCUAAUCAAAUAUUAUUUUCUAUUCAUAAUAACCCACUAUCCUUCUUAUCUCACAUACUCCAACCAAACACUAUUUUUCACUAUCCUGAACUAACUCCAACCUCCAACCAAACACAAAAAUACUCUGACCCCAUCUUAACUCUAAACUUAACCCUAUCCCUGAAAUAACUAAUUUUUUCUUACCCCGAACCAAACGGUUACAGUUUAGCAUGUAUUUACUAUGCUAUUUACAGUUCAAAAAUUGCACUUCACUAUUUUAUAAUUCAUUUUUAUUUUUACUGUAUACUGUUAAACGAGAUGGUAAAAUGAUAUUUACUUUUUGCAAACUACAAAGUAGUAUAAUUAAUAUAGCAUUUUAUCAUUUCUAUGAUUUUACACUUUAUCACCCUUUUGUUUACAAAAAAUAAUAUUUUACUAACUUGCUUAGCAGUAGGCUGUUUAUCGGUUCAAUAAUCCAAUUUGUAAAUAGAAAAAAAAAUAUAUUAUAAUGGAAGAGUGAUAAAUAAUGGAUAAAUAUAUAAUGCAUUGGUGCACACAUGCGCUAAAGCAUAAGUAAUAAUUAUUUUUCUAAUAAUAAAUACAAAUAGAGAGUUAGGUUGUCAUACUAUCAGUAGCUAUCAAAUUAUUCUCAAUGAUACGGCUUUUAAAUCAACGAUCGGUACUGUUAGACUUGAUCUACACUAUUAAAAAUAUUUGGAAGCUAAAUUUUAUAACAAUUUUUUAACAUUAUUUGACUAGUGACCAUUAGGCUCAGAAUUGAUAAUGAUCAAUAUGAUGCGUUUGUGAAUUUAACGGUAUAAAAUAAUUCAGAUCUAAUAAAAUUUUUAUAAAUAUUUUUUUCACUAUUUAAAAUAAGAUCAGUACCUAUGAUGUUAAAUUCAAGUCUUUUAUCAUUAUUUUUUAUAAAAUUUUUUUAUCUUCGAUCGUUUACUUUUAAACUACUCGUUUGAUAGAUAAAUGAUGUCGAAAAAUUAUGAAAUUUAGCUUUCAAAUACUUCAAUAGUGUAAAUGCAGUCUAACGAAGCCGAUCGUCGAUUUGAAAGUCGCAUCAUUAAAAAUAACUUAGUAGUACAGAGACUUUCGUUUUAUCGAUAAUAUAAUAGUCAGACUCUCUCUCUCUCUCUAUAUAUAUAGAGUCAAAACUAAAAAUAAUUUGUAAUAAGGGUAAUAAAAGAGAGAAGAUUUGUUUUCUUAGAGAGAAAUGUAGCAUACUAUCCAUUUUAUUUUUUUUAUAAAUAAAUUUAGCUGAAAAUAUGAAUCAAGUAGACUUCAAACUAAAAACCUCGAAUACUAACCAUCAAAUUUUUUACCGAAUAAAAAGGCCUUAAGCGUCUUUACUUUGGCCAGUGAACUUUGGACAGAUAGUAGCAAUAAGGGGGGCAUAGUUGGGAAAAAAAGAGCUAACUAUCAUCUCCUCUACGUGGUGGGCUUUCUGGUUGGAGCGAAAUAGAAGGAUUUUCGACCAUAAAAAACUUUCGUUGCGACAGCUGUUGGUGGACUUACACACACUUAUGAAUUCGUGGGAUCUUUAUUGUGUUUAGUUUAGUUUUUUAGUUUUUUUUCUUUUUUUCUUUUUUUCCUCUUGUGAAGCUUUGAUGCUUCACUUUAUUGCUAAAUUCAUCUUUUUACUGAAUGAACCGAUAGCAUGCUACCUUUCUCUCAAAAAAAAAAAAAAAAAUUUACCAUUUGAACUGAGGACGGUCGGUAUAAAAGAGAGAAGGGUGAAUGGGGAAUUAGGAAGGGUUUGUCUUUUUCAAGUGGGGCCCUCCUAAAGCAUAAUUGAGAAGAAAACAAGAGAGGAUGAAAACAACGGCGCUUGAUGAGUCGGCAGUACUUGUGUUAGAAAAAAAGCCAGAGCAGGCAAUGGCCCAGCUGCCGGAAAUCAUUGCAUGGGCCCACAAACCGCUGCUCAUAAUAUCUUCAAAGCCCUUGUUUGGAUAUAUCAGCAUAAAUUUGGUAAAAUAUACAGAACUUAUCUGGAUUAUAAUUAUGAAUUAUUUUGAAUUAGCUAUUCUGAGUUUUUAAAAUUUUGAUUUUGCUAAUUAAUUUUUUAAUAUAUUUUGUUUGAAUCAAUAAAUAAUAAUUUGAUUUUAAAUUUUGAAUGCAUCUUUUAUAUUUACAGAUUUAAUUAGUAUGCUUUAUGUAAUUCUCAUAAUAAGUAAUUAGCUUAAAUUUUAAAGUUAAAAUACUAUUGACUGACUAAAAUCCAGCAAAUUGGAAGGCUAGAUAGUAAAACUAAAAUUUUGAAAUGUUGGGUUGUUAAUUCAAAAAUGGUUUGUAGUUUAGACAAGUUCUGUUUGUUUUUAUCAAUAAAUUUUAUAAGAGUAAUUUGGUACUGUGAAAUUUUGUUUUCUUAUUAUCAUUUAAAACGUCAUUUUUUUAGUUUUUUUCACAAGGUUUCGAUUGUCAUGAUUUCGUAAAAUAACACUUUCAUUUUUUUCUUUUGUGUGUGUGAUAUACCGAACAAGAUGAUCAUAUAUCUAGAAAAGCUUAAACAUUCUCUUUAAUUGAUUUGUACCAAAAACUUGCAAUAUUUGAAAGGUAAAGAGUAUAAUCAAGUCUACCAAAUUGUGAAUAUUAAAACCUUUCAAACAGCUUGCUAAAAUAAAACCUGAACAUUGUAUGAUGAAAACGAAAAUUAUUAUACGUAAUUAUUGAAUAACUUAUUCUGACAUCCAAAUCAGGCCUAUGUUCAUAUGCUAAAAUGUCGUGCGUAAAUUGGUUCUACAUUACAAAUUUGCACAUUAGCAUUUAUAGGAUUAUUAUCUUUAAACAGCUUAUAAGACAUCACUUUCAGAAAAUAUUUUAGAUUUGUCAUGAAGGAUCCCCCAUAGGUUGUUGAUAUAUUAACAAGCUCAUGUGACGCUUUAAACUACAUGCAUAUAUGACUUUUUUAAACUACUCAAUAGUUUAUAAGAGGAACAUUCUCCCGCAUAAAUAAUAUUUUGUAUAAUGAACAUGUGUUUUGCUUUUGCAAUAUUCAAAGAAUCUUUCUACUUUUACAAUUUAGUAUAGUUUUUAAUUUCAAUAACUAUAUUGGCCUCAGCUUCUACUUUUUUAUUGUCAAUUUUUUUUUUAACUAUACUGACUAUCACUAACGCAAGUGAUAAAAAUUUUUAAUAUUGAUAUUCAAAAUCGUAAAAUAAAUAAAAUUAUAAAAUUAUAAAAUUUGAUUUCUACAGAGUUCAAAUAGCUUAUAUUGUGUAUGAUAAUUCCAGGCAUUGAUUUACAUGCAACCGUCAUCAGAAACAAUGCGAAAAUAUUCCAACUUUACUUUAAAAAGGUGCGAAUUAACUCAUUCUUAUCCCUUCUCUCAUUGUCUUCGCAAUAAUAAUUUCUAAAUAGAAAAAAAAGAAAUUGAAGAAAAACAGAGUAAAAUGUCCUCAUCAUUGCCAUGGCCACCAAGAUCAAUUUUCUGAGAGAAAAAGAGAAGAGCAUAUUAUCAGCAUCCAUUAAAUGUUGGGAACAUGAAGAAAAGCAUCUGAUCUGUACACUUGACAGUAAACUAACAGAGGUGUAGAAAUGGAUGCAAAAGUUUUACUUGUAGGGAGUUAGCAGCACUCUUUGGGGCCCACAUUACAUUUAGUCUUGUUUACAGAAAAGUCUUGCACACUGAAUAUUUAUUACUUAUCGGUAAUAAAUAUAUUUCAACAAUCAAAAGCUACAAAAUAAUUUUGCUGUUGAAUUUUUCUACGUACGGAGUUGUAGGAAAUGUGUCACUUCACUCUUCGUACUCACAAUUUAAUGUAAAGAUUGAUAGAAUCACUCAAUCUUAAUUGAAGUUUUGAUACCUAUAAGUGAUUAGCAUCCACGAUUCUAAUGAUAGCUUUAUCUGAUGCGAAGAACAUUAAAUCUUAACUGUAAAUAUAAAUAUGAUGAUAUUAAUUGGUUCCCUGUUCUAACUGUAACUCUCAAAUCAAAUAUUAGGAUUGAGUCACUUUCUAAUGCCGACAAUUUCGUCUUAAGGAUGCGUGAGAAGGCUAAGUGUUCGAGCAUUUCGGUUCUCGAACGUUAAUAUAUUGCAAUUUCAAACUUAAACUUUAAACAUUAUUACAGUUUAGUCCUAUAAUCCAACUAAAUCAACUAAACAGUAGGUAUCGCACGAUGUAGCAGUGACGUGACAUUGUUGCGAUUAAUGACACAUCAACGAAUAAAAUAUCACAUCAAUGUCACAUUUUAUCUAGUACGAUAAACUAAACUACAGAAUUUAAUUGAAAUAAUCGAAAAGGCUUAAGAUAGAAAGUAUAACGCAUUAAAGUUUGUAACCAAUUUGUCACCCACACCGUAGUUUGACGACUCAAUGUAUAACUUAGGUAAAAAAAUACAGAACUUUAUUUAAACAAUAGACUAUUUAAAAUUAAUUAUCCAAUCUUUCAAAUUUUUAAUUUUAUUAUCGAAUUUUUAUUUAUUUAUUUGAUUUAAGUGAGUCAAUGAUACUAUCACUUCGAAAUUUAAGUUAAUUAUUUAAUUUUAAAAAAUUAGAGUUGCAAAAGUUACUUUAAGUAUACUGACUAAAUUUGGAAAAAUAAAUAGCAUAUUUAAAUUUUAAAUUCAAAAUGCUAUUGACGGGCUCAAAUCAAACAAAUUUAAAAAUAAAAUAAUAAAAUUAAAAUUUAUAAGUUUAUAUAUUUU
RNAcentral lists this long non-coding RNA (56599 nucleotides) under Ananas comosus (pineapple). RNAcentral's name for it is "long non-coding RNA (ACOM_LNC004757)". Lineage: Eukaryota; Viridiplantae; Streptophyta; Magnoliopsida; Poales; Bromeliaceae. The record is from RNAcentral.